RNAcentral lists this long non-coding RNA (46179 nucleotides) under Arabidopsis thaliana (thale cress). RNAcentral describes it as "long non-coding RNA (ATHA_LNC000153)". The record is from RNAcentral. Lineage: Eukaryota; Viridiplantae; Streptophyta; Magnoliopsida; Brassicales; Brassicaceae.
UCACCCAUCGUAGUACUACUCUCGCCCAAGCACGCUUAACUGUAGAGUUCUGAUGGGAUCCGGUUCAUUAUUGCUGGUAUGAUCGCAUCCGUUACUACAUGCAAUGCAAUCGUAUCUAUUCUUUUUUGAAGACUUUAUGAUCCAUUUGCCGUGGGUCCCACCAGCUAUGUUGGAAUACCCUAUCUUGUUUAUAAGAGCUUUGUUACAUGCAAAAUAUUCGAAAACAAUGUCCGAACAUAUAAUAUUUGCCCCGUAAUAUAGCAAAGAUCACGAAAAGGCCAGAAAACCUAUAUUAAGUUCAAAAUUUGGAGUAGAAAAAAACCAAUAGAAGAAUUCCAUUUUCCUUCCUCACUCAUCGGAGAGCUCUCUUUGGGGCUUUCCGAAAAGGUAUCACAUGCAAAGUUUGGCCUCACAGGCUAAAAGUUAUAGAGUCGUACAUUUUUAACAAAAAAAAAAAGAGAAAAGCCGAAAAAAAGAAGGAUGCAACACAAGGACUUUCCGGGAGGUCAGCCAUCCUAAUAUUACUCUCGCCCAAGCACGCUUAACUGUAGAGUUCUGAUGGGAUCCGGUGCAUUAGUGCUGGUAUGAUCGCAUCUGUUACUACAUGCAAUGCAAUCGUAUCUAUUCUUUUUUUAAGACUUUAUGAUCCAUUUACCGUGGGUCCCACCAGCUACGUAGGAAUAACCUAUCUUAUUUAUAAGAGCUUUGAUACAUGCAAAAUAUUCGAAAACAAUGUCCGAACAUAUAAUUUUCGUCCCGUAAUAUAGCAAAGAUCACAAAAAGGCCAGAAAGAGUACAUUAAGGUCAAAAUUUUGGAGUAGAAAAAAAAACCCUUCCUCAUUCAUUAAAGAGCUCUCUUUGGCAUUUCCGAAAAGGUGUCACAUGCCAAGUUCGGCCUCACGGUCUAAAAGUUAUAGAGUCAUACAUUGUUAACAAAAAAAAAGAGAAAAACCGAUUAAAAGAGUUAUGCAACACAAGGACUUUCCUGGAGGUCACCCGUCCUAGUACUACUCUCGCCCAAGCACGCUUAAAUGCGGAGUUCUGAUGGGAUCCGGUCCAUGAGUGGUGGUAUGAUCACAUCCGUUACUACAUGCAAUGCAAUCGUAUCUAUUAUUUUUUGAAGACUUUAUGAUCCAUUUGCCGUGGGUCCCACCAGCUAUGUAGGAAUACCCUAUCUUGUUUAUAAGAGCUUUGAUACAUCCAAAAUAUUCGAAAACAAUGUUGGAACGUAUAAGUUUCGCUCAGUAAUAUAGCAAAGAUCACGAAAAGGCCACAAAAAGUACAUUAAGGUAAAAAUUUAGAGUAGGAAAAAAAAACAAUAGGAGAAUUCCAUGUUCCUUCCUCAAUCAUCGGAGAGCUCUCUUUGGGCUUUCCAAAAAGGUAUCACAUGCCAAGUUUGGCCUCACGGUCUAAAAGUUAUAGAGUCAUACAUUUUUAACAAAAAAAAAUAGAGAAAAACCAAAAAAAAGAGGGAUGCAACACGAAGACUUUCCUGGAGGUCACCCAUCCUAGUACUACUCUCGCCCAAGCACGCUUAACUGCGGUGUUCUGAUAGGAUCAAGUGCAUUAGUGCUGGUAGGAUCGCAUUCGUUACUACAUGCAAUGCAAUUAUAUAUAUUCUUUUUUGAAGACUUUAUGAUCCAUUUGCGGUAGGUCCCACCAGCUAUGUAGGAAUACCCUAUCUUGCUUAUAAGAGUUUUGAUACAUGCAAAAAUAUUCGAAAACAAUGUCCGAACAUAUAAUUUUUGUCCCGUAAUAUAACAAAGAUCACGAAAAGGCCAAAAAUAGUACAUUUCGGUCAAAACAUGGAGCAGAAAAAAAACCCCUUCCUCAUUCAUCGGAGAGCUCUCAUUGGGCUUUCCGAAAAGAUAUCACAUGCAAAGUUUGGCCUCACGGUUUAAAAGUUAUAGAGUCAAAUAUUUUUAACAAAAAAAAGAGAGAAAAACCGAAAACAAAGAGGGAUGCAACACGAGGACUUUCCGGAAGGUCACCCAUCCUAGUACUACUCUAGCCCAAGCACGCUUAACCGCGGAGUUCUGAUAGGAUCCGGUGCAUUAGUGCUGGUAUGAUCGCAUCAGUUACUACAUGCAAUGCAAUCAUAUAUAUUUUUUUUGAAGACUUUAUGAUCCAUUUGCCGUGGGUCCCACCAGCUAUGUAGGAAUACCUAUCUUGUUUAUAAGAGCUUUGAUACAUGCAAAAUAUUUGAAAACAAUGUCCGAACGUAUAAUCUUCGUCCCGUAAUAUAGCAAAGAUCACGAAAAGGCCAGAAAAAGUACAUUAAGGUCAAAAUUUUGACUAGAAAAAAAAAACAAUAGAAAAAUUCCAUUGUCCUUCCUCAUUCAUCGGAGAGUUCUCUUUGGGCUUUCCGAAAAGGUAUCACAUGCCAAGUUUGGCCUCACGGUCUAAAACUUAUAGAAUCAUACAUUCUUAACAAAAAAAAAAAAAAAACCGAAAAAAAGAAGAAUGCAACACAAGGACUUUCCAGGAGGUCAACCAUCCUAGUAGUACUCUCGCCCAAUCACGCUUAACUGCAGAGUUCUGAUGGGAUCCGGUGCAUUAGUGCUGGUAUGAUCGCAUCUGUUACUACAUGCAAUGCAAUCGUAUCUAUUCUUUUUUGAAGACUUUAUGAUCCAUUUGCCGUGGGUCCCACCAGCUAUGUAGGAAUACCUUAUCUUGUUUAUAAGAGCUUUGAUACAUGCAAAAUAUUCGAAUACAAUGUCUGAACGUAUAACUUUCGCCCCGUAAUAUAGCGAAGAUCACGAAAAGGCCCGAAAAAGUACAUUAAGGUCAAAAUUUCGAGUAGAAAUAAAAACCAAUAGAAGAAUUCCAAUUUCCUUCCUCAUUCAUUGGAGAGCUCUCUUUGGGCUUUCCGAAAAGGUAUCACAUGCGAAGUUUCGCCUCACAAUCUAAAAGUUAUAUAGUCAUACAUUUUUAACAAAACAAAUAGAGAAAAACCGAAAAAAAGAAUGAUACAACACAACGACUUUCCCGGAGGUCACCCAUCCUAAUACUAUUCUCGCCCAAGCAAGCUUAACUGCAGAGUAUUGAUGGGAUCUGAUGCAUAAGUGCUGAUAUGAUCGCAUCCGUUACUACAUGCAAUGCAAUCGUAUCUAUUCGUUUUUGAAGACUUUAUGAUCCAUUUGCCGUGGGUCCCACCAGCUAUGUAGGAAUACCCUAUCUUGUUUAUAAGAGCUUUGAUACAUGCAAAAAAUUGGAAAACAAUGUCUGAACAUAUAAUUUUUGUCCCGUAAUAUAGCAAAGAUCACGAAAAGGAUAGAAAAAGUACAUUAAGGUCAAAAUUUUGAGUAGAAAAAAAAUCAAUAGAAGGAUUCCAAUUUCCUUGCUCAUUCAUAUAGCUCUCUUUGGGCUUUCCGAAAAGGUAUCACAUGCAAAGUUUGGCCUCGCGGUCUAAAAGUUAUAGAGGUAUACUUUUUUACCAAAAAAAAAGAAGAAAAAAACCAAAAAAAAGAGGGAUUCAACACGAGGACUUUCUGGGAGGUCACUCAUCCUAUUACUACUCUCGCCCAAGCACGCUUAACUGCGGAGUUCUGAUAGGAUCCAGUGCAUUAGUGCGGGUAUGAUCACAUCCGUUACUACAUGCAAUGCAAUCGUAUAUAUUUUUUUUGAAGACUUUAUGAUCCAUUUGCCGUGGGUCUCACCAGCUAUAUAGGAAUACCCUAUCUUGUUUAUAAGAGCUUUGAUACAUGCAAAAUAUUUGAAAACAAUGUCCGAACGUAUAAUCUUCGUCCCGUAAUAUAGCAAAGAUCACUAAAAGGCUAGAAAAAGUACAUUAAGAUCAAAAUUUUGAGUAGAAAAAUAAACAAUAGAAAAAUUCCAUUGUCCUUCCUCAUUCAUCGGAGAGUUCUCUUUGGGCUUUCCGAAAAGGUAUCACAUGCCAAGUUUGGCCUCACGGUCUAAAACUUAUAGAAUCAUACAUUCUUAACAAAAAAAAAAGAGAAAAACCGAAAAAAAGAAGAAUUUAACACAAGGACUUUCCAGGAGGUCAACCAUCCUAGUAGUACUCUCGCCCAAUCACGCUUAACUGCAGAGUUCUGAUGGGAUCCGGUGCAUUAGUGCUGGUAUGAUCGCAUCUGUUACUACAUGCAAUGCAAUCGUAUCUGUUACUACAUGCAAUGCAAUCGUAUCUGUUACUACAUGCAAUGCAAUCGUAUCUAUUCUUUUUUGAAGACUUUAUGAUCCAUUUGCCGUGGGUCCCACCAGCUAUGUAGGAAUACCCUAUCUUGUUUAUAAGAGCUUUGAUACAUGCAAAAUAUUCGAAUACAAUGUCUAAACGUAUAAGUUUCGCCCCGUAAUAUAGCGAAGAUCACGAAAAGGCCCGAAAAAGUACAUUAAGGUCAAAAUUUGGAGUAGAAAUAAAAACCAAUAGAAGAAUUCCAAUUUCCUUCCUCAUUCAUUGGAGAGCUCUCUUUGGGCUUUCCGAAAAGGUAUCACAUGCGAAGUUUGGCCUCACAAUCUAAAAGUUAUAUAGUCAUACAUUUUUAACAAAACAAAUAGAGAAAAACCGAAAAAAAGAAUGAUACAACACAAGGACUUUCCGGGAGGUCACCCAUCCUAAUACUAUUCUCGCCCAAGCAAGCUUAACUGCAGAGUAUUGAUGGGAUCUGAUGCAUAAGGGCUGAUAUGAUCGCAUCCGUUACUACAAGCAAUGCAAUCGUAUCUAUUCGUUUUUGAAGACUUUAUGAUCCAUUUGCCGUGGGUCCCACCAGCUAUGUAGGAAUACCCUAUCUUGUUUAUAAGAGCUUUGAUACAUGCAAAAAAUUGGAAAACAAUGUCUGAACAUAUAAUUUUUGUCCCGUAAUAUAGCAAAGAUCACGAAAAGGAUAGAAAAAGUACAUUAAGGUCAAAAUUUUGAGUAGAAAAAAAAUCAAUAGAAGGAUUCCAAUUUCCUUCCUCAUUCAUAUAGCUCUCUUUGGGCUUUCCGAAAAGGUAUCACAUGCAAAGUUUGGCCCCGCGGUCUAAAAGUUAUAGAGGUAUACAUUUUUACCAAAAAAAAGAGGGAUUCAACACGAGGACUUUUUUNNNNNNNNNNNNNNNNNNNNNNNNNNNNNNNNNNNNNNNNNNNNNNNNNNUGCUGGUAUGAUCGCAUCAGUUACUACAUGCAAUGCAAUCAUAUAUAUUCUUUUUUGAAGACUUUAUGAUCCAUUUGCCGUAGGUCCCACCAGCUAUGUAGGAAUACCCUAUCUUGUUUAUAAGAGCUUUGAUACAUGCAAAAUAUUCGAAAACAAUGUCCGAACAUAUAAUUUUUGUCCCGUAAUAUAGCAAAGAUCACGAAAAGGCCAGAAAAAAUACAUUUCGGUCAAAAUUUGGAGUAGAAAAAAAGCCCUUCCUCAUUCAUUGGACAGCUCUCUUUGGGCUUUCCGAAAAGGUAUCACAUGCCAAGUUUGGCCUCACGGUCUAAACCUUAUAGACUCAUACAUUUUUCACAAAAAAAAGAAGAGAAAAACCAAAAAAAAGAGUGAUUAAACACGAGGAUUUUCCUGGAGGUCACCCAUCCUAGUACUACUCUCGCCCAAGCACGCUUAACUGCGAAGGUCUGAUGGGAUAUGGUGCAUUAGUGCUGGUAUGAUCGCAUCUGUUACUACAUGCAAUGCAAUCGUAUCUAUUCUUUUUUGAAGAUUUGAUGAUUCAUUUACCGUGGGUCCCACCAGCUAUGUAGGAAUAACCUAUCUUAUUUAUAAAAGCUUUGAUACAUGCAAAAUAUUCGAAAACAAUGUCCGAACAUAUAAUGUUCGCCCCAAAAUAUAGCAAAGACCACAAAAAUGCCAUAAAAAGUACAUUAAGGUCAAAAUUUGGAGUAGGAAAAAAAUCAAUAGGAGAAUUCCAUUUUCCUUCCCUCAUUCAUCAGAGAGCUCUCUUUGGGCAUUCCAAAAAGGUAUCACAUGCCAAGUUUGGCCUCACGGUCUAAAAGUUAUAGAGUAUUACAUUUUUAACAAAAAAAAAAGGGAAAAACCGAAAAAGAGGGAUGCAACACGAAGACUUUUCUGGAGGUCACCCAUUCUAGUACUACUCUCCCCCAAGCACGCUUAACUGUGGUGUUCUAAUAGGAUCAAGUGCAUUAGUGCUGGUAUGAUCGCAUCAGUUACUACAUGCAAUGCAAUCAUAUAUAUUCUUUUUUGAAGACUUUAUGAUCCAUUUGCCGUAGGUCCCACCAGCUAUGUAGGAAUACCCUAUCUUGUUUAUAAGAGCUUUGAUACAUGCAAAAUAUUCGAAAACAAUGUCCGAACAUAUAAUUUUUGUCCCGUAAUAUAGCAAAGAUCACGAAAAGGCCAGAAAAAAUACAUUUCGGUCAAAAUUUGGAGUAGAAAAAAAGCCCUUCCUCAUUCAUUGGACAGCUCUCUUUGGGCUUUCCGAAAAGGUAUCAUAUGCCAAGUUUGGCCUCACGGUCUAAACCUUAUAGACUCAUACAUUUUUCACAAAAAAAAGAAGAGAAAAACCAAAAAAAAGAGUGAUUAAACACGAGGACUUUCCUGGAGGUCAUCCAUCCUAGUACUACUCUCGCCCAAGCACGCUUAAUUGCGAAGUUCUGAUGGGAUCUGGUGCAUUAGUGCUGGUAUGAUCGCAUAUGUUACUACAUGCAAUGCAAUCGUAUCUAUUCUUUUUUGAAGAUUUUAUGAUUCAUUUACCGUGGGUACCACCAGCUAUGUAGGAAUAACCUAUCUUAUUUAUAAGAGCUUUGAUACAUGCAAAAUAUUCGAAAACAAUGUCCGAACAUAUAAUUUUUGUCCCGUAAUAUAGCAAAGAUCACGAAAAGGCCAGAAAAAAUACAUUUCGGUCAAAAUUUGGAGUAGAAAAAAACCCUUCCUCAUUCAUUGGACAGCUCUGUUUGAGCUUUCCGAAAAGGUAUCACAUGCCAAGUUUGGCCUCACGGUCUAAAAGUUAUAGAGUCAUACAUUUUUCACAAAAAAAAGAAGAGAAAAACCAAAAAAAAGAGUGAUGAAACACGAGGACUUUCCUGGAGGUCACCCAUCCUAGUACUACUCUCGCCCAAGCACGCGUAACUGCGAAGUUCUGAUGGGAUCUGGUGCAUUAGUGCUGGUAUGAUCGCAUCUGUUACUACAUGCAAUGCAAUCGUAUCUAUUCUUUUUUGAAGAUUUUAUGAUUCAUUUACCGUGGGUCCCACCAGCUAUGUAGGAAUAACCUAUCUUAUUUAUAAGAGCUUUGAUACAUGCAAAAUAUUGGAAAACAAUGUCCGAACAUAUAAUGUUCGCCCCAAAAUAUAGCAAAGACAACAAAAAUCCCAUAAAAAGUACAUUAAGGUCAAAAUUUGGAGUAGGAAAAAAAUCAAUAAGAGAAUUCCAUUUUCCUUCCCUCAUUCAUCGGAGAGGUCUCUUUGGGCAUUCCAAAAAGGUAUCACAUGCCAAGUUUGGCCUCACGGUCUAAAAGUUAUAGAGUAAUACAUUUUUAACAAAAAAAAAAGAGAAAAACCGAAAAAAAGAGGGAUGCAACACGAAGACUUUUCUGGAGGUCACCCAUCCUAGUACUACUCUCCCAAAGCACGCUUAACUGUGGUGUUCUGAUAGGAUCAAGUGCAUUAGUGCGGGUAUGAUCGCAUCAGUUACUACAUGCAAUGCAAUCAUAUAUAUUCUUUUUUGAAGACUUUAUGAUCCAUUUGCCGUAGGUCCCACCAGCUAUGUAGGAAUACCCUAUCUUGUUUAUAAGAGCUUUGAUACAUGCAAAAUAUUCGAAAACAAUGUCCGAACAUAUAAUUUUUGUCCCGUAAUAUAGCAAAGAUCACGAAAAGGCCAGGAAAAAUACAUUUCGGUCAAAAUUUGGAGUAGAAAAAAAACCCUUCCUCAUUCAUUGGACAGCUCUCUUUGGGCUUUCCGAAAAGGUAUCACAUGCCAAGUUUGGCCUCACGGUCUAAAAGUUAUAGAUUCAUACAUUUUUCACAAAAAAAAGAAGAGAAAAACCAAAAAAAAGAGGGAUGAAACACGAGGACUUUCCCAGAGGUCACCCAUCCUAGUACUACUCUCGCCCAAGCACGCUUAACUGCGAAGUUCUGAUGGGAUCUGGUGCAUUAGUGCUGGUAUGAUCGCAUCUGUUACUACAUGCAAUGCAAUCGUAUCUAUUCUUUUUUGAAGAUUUUAUGAUUCAUUUACCGUGGGUCCCACCAGCUAUGUAGGAAAACCUAUCUUAUUUAUAAGAUCUUUGAUACAUGCAAAAUAUUGGAAAACAAUGUCCGAACAUAUAAUGUUCGCCCCAAAAUAUAGCGAAGACCACAAAAAUGCCAUAAAAAGUACAUUAAGGUCAAAAUUUGGAGUAGGAAAAAAAUCAAUAGGAGAAUUCCAUUUUCCUUCCCUCAUUCAUCGGAGAGCUCUCUUUGGGCAUUCCAAAAAGGUAUCACAUGCCAAGUUUGGCCUCACGGUCUAAAAGUUAUAGAAUAUUACAUUUUUAACAAAAAAAAAGAGAAAAACCAAAAAAAAGAGGGAUGCAACACGAGGACUUUUCUGGAGGUCACCCAUCCUACUACUACUCUCGCCCAAGCACACUUAACUGCGGUGUUCUGAUAGGAUCAAGUGCAUUAGUGCUGGUAUGAUCGCAUCAGUUACUACAUGCAAUGCAAUCAUAUAUAUUCUUUUUUGAAGACUUUAUGAUCCAUUUGCCGUAGGUCCCACCAGCUAUGUAGGAAUACCCUAUCUUGUUUAUAAGAGCUUUGAUACAUGCAAAAUAUUCGAAAACAAUGUCCGAACAUAUAAUUUUUGUCCCGUAAUAUAGCAAAGAUCACGAAAAGGCCAGAAAAAAUACAUUUUGGUCAAAAUUUGGAGUAGAAAAAAAGCCCUUCCUCAUUCAUUGGACAGCUCUCUUUGGGCUUUCCGAAAAGGUAUCACAUGCCAAGUUUGGCCUCACGGUCUAAACCUUAUAGACUCAUACAUUUUUCACAAAAAAAAGAAGAGAAAAACCAAAAAAAAGAGUGAUUAAACACGAGGAUUUUCCUGGAGGUCACCCAUCCUAGUACUACUCUCGCCCAAGCACGCUUAACUGCGAAGGUCUGAUGGGAUAUGGUGCAUUAGUGCUGGUAUGAUCGCAUCUGUUACUACAUGCAAUGCAAUCGUAUCUAUUCUUUUUUGAAGAUUUGAUGAUUCAUUUACCGUGGGUCCCACCAGCUAUGUAGGAAUAACCUAUCUUAUUUAUAAAAGCUUUGAUACAUGCAAAAUAUUCGAAAACAAUGUCCGAACAUAUAAUGUUCGCCCCAAAAUAUAGCAAAGAUCACAAAAAUGCCAUAAAAAGUACAUUAAGGUCAAAAUUUGGAGUAGGAAAAAAAUCAAUAGGAGAAUUCCAUUUUCCUUCCCUCAUUCAUCGGAGAGCUCUCUUUGGGCAUUCCAAAAAGGUAUCACAUGCCAAGUUUGGCCUCACGGUCUAAAAGUUAUAGAGUAUUACAUUUUUAACAAAAAAAAAAGGGAAAAACCGAAAAAGAGGGAUGCAACACGAAGACUUUUCUGGAGGUCACCCAUCCUAGUACUACUCUCCCCCAAGCACGCUUAACUGUGGUGUUCUAAUAGGAUCAUGUGCAUUAGUGCUGGUAUGAUCGCAUCAGUUACUACAUGCAAUGCAAUCAUAUAUAUUCUUUUUUGAAGACUUUAUGAUCCAUUUGCCGUAGGUCCCACCAGCUAUGUAGGAAUACCCUAUCUUGUUUAUAAGAGCUUUGAUACAUGCAAAAUAUUCGAAAACAAUGUCCGAACAUAUAAUUUUUGUCCCGUAAUAUAGCAAAGAUCACGAAAAGGCCAGAAAAAAUACAUUUCGGUCAAAAUUUGGAGUAGAAAAAAAGCCCUUCCUCAUUCAUUGGACAGCUCUCUUUGGGCUUUCCGAAAAGGUAUCAUAUGCCAAGUUUGGCCUCACGGUCUAAACCUUAUAGACUCAUACAUUUUUCACAAAAAAAAGAAGAGAAAAACCAAAAAAAAGAGUGAUUAAACACGAGGACUUUCUUGGAGGUCAUCCAUCCUAGUACUACUCUCGCCCAAGCACGCUUAACUGCGAAGUUCUGAUGGGAUCUGGUGCAUUAGUGCUGGUAUGAUCGCAUCUGUUACUACAUGCAAUGCAAUCGUAUCUAUUCUUUUUUGAAGAUUUUAUGAUUCAUUUACCGUGGGUACCACCAGCUAUGUAGGAAUAACCUAUCUUAUUUAUAAGAGCUUUGAUACAUGCAAAAUAUUCGAAAACAAUGUCCGAACAUAUAAUUUUUGUCCCGUAAUAUAGCAAAGAUCACGAAAAGGCCAGAAAAAAUACAUUUUGGUCAAAAUUUGGAGUAGAAAAAAACCCUUCCUCAUUCAUUGGACAGCUCUGUUUGAGCUUUCCGAAAAGGUAUCACAUGCCAAGUUUGGCCUCACGGUCUAAAAGUUAUAGAGUCAUACAUUUUUCACAAAAAAAAAGAAGAGAAAAACCAAAAAAAAGAGUGAUGAAACACGAGGACUUUCCUGGAGGUCACCCAUCCUAGUACUACUCUCGCCCAAGCACGCGUAACUACGAAGUUCUGAUGGGAUCUGGUGCAUUAGUGCUGGUAUGAUCGCAUCUGUUACUACAUGCAAUGCAAUCGUAUCUAUUCUUUUUUGAAGAUUUUAUGAUUCAUUUACCGUGGGUCCCACCAGCUAUGUAGGAAUAACCUAUCUUAUUUAUAAGAGCUUUGAUACAUGCAAAAUAUUGGAAAACAAUGUCCGAACAUAUAAUGUUCGCCCCAAAAUAUAGCAAAGACAACAAAAAUGCCAUAAAAAGUACAUUAAGGUCAAAAUUUGGAGUAGGAAAAAAAUCAAUAAGAGAAUUCCAUUUUCCUUCCCUCAUUCAUCGGAGAGCUCUCUUUGGGCAUUCCAAAAAGGUAUCACAUGCCAAGUUUGGCCUCACGGUCUAAAAGUUAUAGAGUAGUACAUUUUUAACAAAAAAAAAAGAGAGAAACCGAAAAAAAGAGGGAUGCAACACGAAGACUUUUCUGGAGGUCACCCAUCCUAGUACUACUCUCCCAAAGCACGCUUAACUGUGGUGUUCUGAUAGGAUCAAGUGCAUUAGUGCGGGUAUGAUCGCAUCAGUUACUACAUGCAAUGCAAUCAUAUAUAUUCUUUUUUGAAGACUUUAUGAUCCAUUUGCCGUAGGUCCCACCAGCUAUGUAGGAAUACCCUAUCUUGUUUAUAAGAGCUUUGAUACAUGCAAAAUAUUCGAAAACAAUGUCCGAACAUAUAAUUUUUGUCCCGUAAUAUAGCAAAGAUCACGAAAAGGCCAGGAAAAAUACAUUUCGGUCAAAAUUUGGAGUAGAAAAAAAACCCUUCCUCAUUCAUUGGACAGCUCUCUUUGGGCUUUCCGAAAAGGUAUCACAUGCCAAGUUUGGCCUCACGGUCUAAAAGUUAUAGAUUCAUACAUUUUUCACAAAAAAAAGAAGAGAAAAACCAAAAAAAAGAGGGAUGAAACACGAGGACUUUCCCAGAGGUCACCCAUCCUAGUACUACUCUCGCCCAAGCACGCUUAACUGCGAAGUUCUGAUGGGAUCUGGUGCAUUAGUGCUGGUAUGAUCGCAUCUGUUACUACAUGCAAUGCAAUCGUAUCUAUUCUUUUUUGAAGAUUUUAUGAUUCAUUUACCGUGGGUCCCACCAGCUAUGUAGGAAAACCUAUCUUAUUUAUAAGAUCUUUGAUACAUGCAAAAUAUUGGAAAACAAUGUCCGAACAUAUAAUGUUCGCCCCAAAAUAUAGCGAAGACCACAAAAAUGCCAUAAAAAGUACAUUAAGGUCAAAAUUUGGAGUAGGAAAAAAAUCAAUAGGAGAAUUCCAUUUUCCUUCCCUCAUUCAUCGGAGAGCUCUCUUUGGGCAUUCCAAAAAGGUAUCACAUGCCAAGUUUGGCCUCACGGUCUAAAAGUUAUAGAAUAUUACAUUUUUAACAAAAAAAAAGAGAAAAACCGAAAAAAAGAGGGAUGCAACACGAAGACUUUUCUGGAGGUCACCCAUCCUACUACUACUCUCGCCCAAGCACACUUAACUGCGGUGUUCUGAUAGGAUCAAGUGCAUUAGUGCUGGUAUGAUCGCAUCAGUUACUACAUGCAAUACAAUCAUAUAUAUUCUUUUUUGAAGACUUUAUGAUCCAUUUGCCGUAGGUCCCACCAGCUAUGUAGGAAUACCUUAUCUUGUUUAUAAGAGCUUUGAUACAUGCAAAAUAUUCGAAAACAAUGUCCGAACAUAUAAUUUUUGUCCCGUAAUAUAGCAAAGAUCACGAAAAGGCCAGAAAAAAUACAUUUCGGUCAAAAUUUGGAGUAGAAAAAAAACCCUUCCUCAUUCAUUGGACAGCUCUCUUUGGGCUUUCCGAAAAGGUAUCACAUGCCAAGUUUGGCUUCACGGUCUAAACCUUAUAGACUCAUACAUUUUUCACAAAAAAAAGAAGAGAAAAACAAAAAAAAAGAGUGAUUAAACACGAGGACUUUCCUGGAGGUCACCCAUCCUAGUACUACUCUCGCCCAAGCACUCUUAACUGCGAAGUUCUGAUGGGAUCUGGUGCAUUAGUGCUGGUAUGAACGCAUCUGUUACUACAUGCAAUGCAAUCGUAUGUAUUCUUUUUUGAAGAUUUUAUGAUUCAUUUACCGUGGGUCCCACCAGCUAUGUAGGAAUAACCUAUCUUAUUUAUAAAAGCUUUGAUACAUGCAAAAUAUUCGAAAACAAUGUCCGAACAUAUAAUGUUCGCCCCAAAAUAUAGCAAAGACCACAAAAAUGCCAUAAAAAGUACAUUAAGGUCAAAAUUUGGAGUAGGAAAAAAAUCAAUAGGAGAAUUCCAUUUUCCUUCCCUCAUUCAUCGGAGAGCUCUCUUUGGGCAUUCCAAAAAGGUAUCACAUGCCAAGUUUGGCCUCACGGUCUAAAAGUUAUAGAGUAUUACAUUUUUAACAAAAAAAAAAAGAGAAAAACCGAAAAAAAGAGGGAUGCAACACGAAGACUUUUCUGGAGGUCACCCAUCCUAGUACUACUCUCCCCCAAGCACGCUUAACUGUGGUGUUCUGAUAGGAUCAAGUGCAUUAGUGCUGGUAUGAUCGCAUCAGUUACUACAUGCAAUGCAAUCAUAUAUAUUCUUUUUUGAAGACUUUAUGAUCCAUUUGCCGUAGGUCCCACCAGCUAUGUAGGAAUACCCUAUCUUGUUUAUAAGAGCUUUGAUACAUGCAAAAUAUUCGAAAACAAUGUCCGAACAUAUAAUUUUUGUCCCGUAAUAUAGCAAAGAUCACGAAAAGGUCAGAAAAAAUAUAUUUCGGUCAAAAUUUGGAGUAGAAAAAAAGCCCUUCCUCAUUCAUUGGACAGCUCUCUUUGGGCUUUCCGAAAAGGUAUCACAUGCCAAGUUUGGCCUCACGGUCUAAACCUUAUAGACUCAUACAUUUUUCAUAAAAAAAAGAAGAGAAAAACAAAAAAAAAAAGAGUGAUUAAACACGAGGACUUUCCUGGAGGUCACCCAUCCUAGUACUACUCUCGCCCAAGCACGCUUAACUACGAAGUUCCGAUGGGAUCUGAUGCAUUAGUGCUGGUAUGAUCGCAUCUGUUACUACAUGCAAUGCAAUCGUAUCUAUUCUUUUUUGAAGAUUUUAUGAUUCAUUUACUGUGGGUCCCACCAGCUAUGUAGGAAUAACCUAUCUUAUUUAUAAAAGCUUUGAUACAUGCAAAAUAUUGGAAAACAAUGUCCGAACAUAUAAUGUUCGCCCCAAAAUAUAGCAAAGACCACAAAAAUGCCAUAAAAAGUACAUUAAGGUCAAAAUUUGGAGUAGGAAAAAAAUCAAUAGGAGAAUUCCAUUUUCCUUCCCUCAUUCAUCGGAGAGCUCUCUUUGGGCAUUCCAAAAAGGUAUCACAUGCCAAGUUUGGCCUCACGGUCUAAAAGUUAUAGAGUAAUACAUUUUUAACAAAAAAAAAAAAGAAAAAAACCGAAAACAAAGAGGGAUGCAACACGAAGACUUUCCUGGAGGUCACCCAUCCUAGUACUACUCUCACCCAAGCACACNUUAACUGUGGUGUUCUGAUAGGAUCAAGUGCAUUAGUGCUGGUAUGAUCGCAUCAGUUACUACAUGCAAUGCAAUCNNNNNNNNNNNNNNNNNNNNNNNNNNNNNNNNNNNNNNNNNNNNNNNNNNCUCCUCAGUCAUCUUUGAGCUCUCUUUGGGCUUUCCGAAAAGGUAUCACAUGCCCAGUUUGGCCUCACGGUCUAAAAGUUAUAAAGUCAUACAUUUUUAACAAAAAAAAAAGAGAAAAACCGAAAAAAAGAGGGAUGCAAUACGAGGACUUUCCACGAGGUCACCCAUCCUAGUACAACUCUCGCCAAAGCAUGCUUAACUGCGGAGUUUAGAUGGGAUCUGGUGCAUUAGUGCUGGUAUGAUCGCAUCUGUUACUACAUGCAAUGCAAUCGUAUCUAUUCUUAUUUAAAGACUUUAUCAUCCAUUUGCCAUGGGUCCCACCUGUAGGAAUACCCAAUCUUGUUUAUAAGAGCUUUGAUACAUGCAAAAUAUUCGAAAACAACGUCCGAACAUAUAAUUUUCGCCCCGUAAUAUAGCAAAGAUCACGAAAAGGCCCGAAAAAGUACAUUAAGGUCAAAAUUUGGAAUAGAAAAAAAAACCAAAAGAAGUAUUCCAUUGUCCUUUGUCAUUCAUCGAAGAGCUCUCUUUGGGCUUUCCGAAAAGGUAUCGCAAGCCAAGUUUGGCCUCACGGUUUAAAAGUUAUAAAGUCAUACAUUUUUAACAAAAAAAAAAAGAGAAAAAACCGAAAAAAAGAGGGAUGCAACACGAGGACUUUUCUGGAGGUCACCCAUCCUAGUACUACUCUCGCCCGAUCACCCUUAACUGCGUAGUUUUGAUGGGAUUCGAUGCAUUAGUGCUGGUAUGAUCGCAUCUGUUACUACAUGCAAUGUAAUCGUAUCUAUUCUUUUUUAAAGACUUUAUGAUCCAUUUGCCGUGGGUCCCACCAGCUAUGUAGGAAUACCCUAUCUUCUUUAUAAGAGCUUUGAUAUAUGCAAAAUAGUGGAAAACCAUGUCCGAACAUAUAAUUUUUCCCCUGUAAUAUAGCAAAGAUCAAGAAAAAGCCAAAAAAAGUAUAUUUAGGUCAAAAUUUGGAGUAGAAAAAAAAACAAUAGAAGAAUUCCAUUUUCCUUCCUCAGUCAUCGGAGAGCUCUCUUUCGGCUUUCCGAAAAGGUAUCAAAUGCCAAGUUUGGCCUCACGGUCUAAAAGUUAUAGAGUCAUACAUUUUUAACAAUACAAAGUAGAGAAAACCGGAAAAAAGAGGGAUGCAACAUGAGGACUUUCCGGGAGGUAAUCCAUCCUAGUACAACUCUUGCCCAAGCACCCUUAACUGCGGAGUUCUGAUGGAAUCCGGUGCAUUAGUGCUGGUAUGAUCGCAUCUGUUACUACAUGCAAUGUAAUCGUAUCUAUUUUUUUUUAAAGACUUUAUGAUCCAUUUGCCGUGGGUCCCACCAGCUAUGUAGGAAUACCCUAUCUUCUUUAUAAGAGCUUUGAUACAUGCAAAAUAUAUGAAAAAACGUUCGAACAUAUAAUUUUUCCCCCCGUAAUAUAGCAAAGAUCACGAAAAGGCCCGAAAAAGUACAUUUAGUUCAAAAUUUGGAGUAGAAAAACCCAAUAGAAGAAUUCCAUUUUCCUUCGUCAUUCAUCGGAGAGCUCUCUUUGGGCUUUCCGAAAAGGUAUCACAUGCCAAGUUUGGCCUCACGGUCUAAAAGUUAUAGAGUCAUACAUUUUUAACAAAACAAAAUUGAGAAAAACCGAAAAAAGAGGGAUGCAACACGAGGACUCUCCAGAAGGUAACCCAUCUUAGUACUACUUUCGCCCAAGCACCCUUAACUGCGGAGUUCUGAUAGGACCCGGUGCAUUAGUGCUGGUAUGAUCGCAUGUGUUACUACAUGCAAUGUAAUCGUAUAUAUUCAUUUUUAAAGACUUUAUGAUCCAUUUGCCGUGGGUCCUACCAGCUAUGUAGAAAUACCCUAUCUUCUUUAUAAGAGCUUUCAUUCACGCAAAAUAAUGGAAAACAAUGUCCGAAGAUAUAAUUCCCCCCCCCCCCCCCCCGUAAUAUAGCAAAGAUCACGAAAAGGCCCGAAAAAGUACAUUAAGUUCAAAAUUUGGAGUAGAAAAAAAAACAAUAGAAGAAUUCCAUUUUCCUUCCUCAGUCAUCGGAGAGCUCUCUUUGGGCUUUCCGAAAAGGUAUCACAUGCCAAGUUUGGCCUCACGGUCUAAAGGUUAUAGAGUCAUACAUUUUUAACAAAAAAAAAUAGAAAAACAGAAAAAAGAGGGAUGCAAUACGAGGACUUUCCAGGAGGUCACCCAUCCUAGUACAACUCUCGCCGAAGCACGCUUAACUACGGUGUUCAGAUGGAAUCUGGUGCAUUAGUGCUGGUAUGAUGUCAUUUGUUACUACAUGCAAUGCAAUCAUAUCUAUUCUUAUUUAAAGACUUUAUGAUCCAUUUGCCGUGGGUCCCACCUGUAGGAAUACCCUAUCUUGUUUAUAAAAGAUUUGAUACAUGCAAAAUACUCGAAAACAAUGUCCGAACAUAUAAUUUUCACCCCGUAAUAUAGCAAAGAUCACGAAAAGGCCCGAAAAAGUACAUUAAAGUCAAAAUUUGGAGUAGAAAAAAACCCAAUAGAAGUAUUCCAUUCUCCUUCGUCAUUCAUCGGAGAGCUCUCUUUAGGCUUUCCGAAAAGAUAUCACAUGCCAAGUUUGGCCUCACGGUUUAAAAGUUAUAGAGUCAUAGAUUUUUAACAAAACAAAAAGAGAAAAACCGAAAAAAAAUUGGGAUGCAACACGAGGACUUUCCUGGAGGUCACCCAUCCUAGUACUACUCUUGCCCAAGCACCCUUAACUGCGUAGUUCUGAUGGGAUCCGAUGCUUUAGGGCUGGUAUGAUCGCAUCUGUUACUACAUGCAAUGUAAUCGUAUCUAUUCUUUUUUAAAGACUUUAUGAUCCAUUUGCCGUGGGUCCCACCAGCUAUGUAGGAAUACCCUAUCUUCUUUAUAAGAGCUUUGAUAAAUGCAAAAUAUUGGAAAGCAAUGUCCGAACAUAUAAUUUCGCCCCCGUAAUAUAGCAAAGAUCACGAAAAAGCCCAAAAAAGUUCAUUUAGGUCAAAAUUUGAGCAGAAGAAAAAGAAAUAGAAGAAUUCCAUUUUCCUUCCUCAUUUAUUGGAGAGCUCUCUUUGGGCUUUCCGAAAAGGUAUCACAUGCCAAGUUUGGCCUCACGGUCUAAAAGUUAUAGAGUCAUACAGUUUUAACAAAAUGAAAUAGAGAAAAACCGAAAAAAAGAGGGAUGUAACACGAGGACUUUCCGGGAGGUAAUCUAUCCUACUACUACUCUCGGCCAAGCACCCUUAACUGCGGAGUUCUAAUGGGAUCCGGUGCAUUAGUGCUAGUAUGAUCGCAUGUGUUACUACAUGCAAUGUAAUCGUAUCUAUUCUUUUUUAAAGACUUUAUGAUCCAUUUGCCGUGGGUCCCACCAGCUAUGUAGGAAUACCCUAUCUUCUUUAUAAGAGCUUUGAUACAUGCAAAAUAUAUGAAAAAAACGUCCGAACAUAUAAUUUUCCCCCCGUAAUAUAGCAAAGAUCAUGAAAAGGCCCAAAAAAGUACAUUAAUGUCAAAAUUUGGCGUAGAAAAAAAACCAAUAGACAUAUUCCAUUGUCCUUCAUCAUUCAUUGAAGAGCUCUCUUUGGGCUUUCCGAAAAGGUAUCACAUGCCAAGUUUGGCCUCACGGUCUAAAAGUUAUAGAGUCAUACAUUUUUAACAAUACAAAAUAGAGAAAAACCGAAAAAAAGAGGGAUGCAACACGAGGACUUUCCGGGAGGUAAUCCAUCCUAGUACUACUCUCGCCCAAGCACCCUUAACUGCGGAGUUCUGAUGGGACCCGGUGCAUUAGUGCUGGUAUGAUCGCAUCUGUUACUAUAUGCAAUGUAAUCGUAUCUAUUCUUUUUUAAAGACUUUAUGAUCCAUUUGCCGUGGGUCCCACCAGCUAUGUAGGAAUACCCUAUCUUCUUUAUAAGAGCUUUGAUAUAUGCAAAAUAUUGGAACACCAUGUCCGAACAUAUAAUUUUUCCCGUGUAAUAUAGCAAAGAUCAAGAAAAAGACAAAAGAGUACAUUUAGGUCAAAAUUUGAGUAGAAAAAAACAAAUAGAAGAAUUCCAUUUUCCUUCCUCAUUCAGCUGAGAGCUCUCUUUGGGCUUUCCGAAAAGGUAUCAUAUGCCAAGUUUGGCCUCACAGUGUAAAAGUUAUAGAGUCUAACAUUUUUAACAAAACAAAAUAGAGAAAAACCAAAAAAAGAGGGAUGCAACACGAGGACUUUCUGGGAGGUCACCCAUCCUAGUACUACUCUCGCCCAAGCACCCUUAACUGCGGAGUUCUGAUGGGAUCCGGUGCAUUAGUGCAGGUAUGAUCGCAUGUGUUACUACAUGCAAUGUAAUCCUAUCUAUUCUUUCUUAAAGACUUUAUGAUCCAUUUGCCGUGAGUCCCACCAGCUAUGUAGGAAUACCCUAUCUUCUUUAUAAGAGCUUUGAUACAUGCAAAAUAUUGGAAAACAAUAUCCGAACAUAUAGUUUUCCCCCCGUAAUAUAGCAAAGAUCACGAAAAGGCCCGAAAAAGUACAUUUAGUUCAAAAUUGGGAGUAGAAAAAAAAACAAUAGAAGAAUUCCAUUUUACUUCCUCAGUCAUCGGAGAGCUCUCUUUGGGCUUUCCGAAAAGGUAUCACAUGCCCAGUUUGGCCUCACGGUCUAAAAGUUAUAAAGUCAUACAUUUUUAACAAAAACAAAAGAGAAAAACCGAAAAAAAAGAGGGAUGCAAUACGAGGACUUUCCACGAGGUCACCCAUCCUAGUACAACUCUCGCCGAAGCAUGCUUAACUGCGGAGUUUAGAUGGGAUCUGGUGCAUUAGUGCUGGUAUGAUCGCAUCUGUUACUACAUGCAAUGCAAUCGUAUCUAUUCUUAUUUAAAGACUUUAUCAUCCAUUUGCCAUGGGUCCCACCUGUAGGAAUACCCAAUCUUGUUUAUAAGAGCUUUGAUACAUGCAAAAUAUUCGAAAACAACGUCCGAACAUAUAAUUUUCGCCCCGUAAUAUAGCAAAGAUCACGAAAAGGCCCGAAAAAGUACAUUAAGGUCAAAAUUUGGAAUAGAAAAAAAAACCAAUAGAAGUAUUCCAUUGUCCUUUGUCAUUCAUCGAAGAGCUCUCUUUGGGCUUUCCGAAAAGGUAUCGCAAGCCAAGUUUGGCCUCACGGUUUAAAAGUUAUAAAGUCAUACAUUUUUAACAAAAAAAAAAAGAGAAAAAACCGAAAAAAAGAGGGAUGCAACACGAGGACUUUUCUGGAGGUCACCCAUCCUAAUACUUCUCUCGCCCGAUCACCCUUAACUACGUAGUUUUGAUGGGAUUCGAUGCAUUAGUGCUGGUAUGAUCGCAUCUGUUACUACAUGCAAUGUAAUCGUAUCUAUUCUUUUUUAAAGACUUUAUGAUCCAUUUGCCGUGGGUCCCACCAGCUAUGUAGGAAUACCCUAUCUUCUUUAUAAGAGCUUUGAUAUAUGCAAAAUAUUGGAAAACCAUGUCCGAACAUAUAAUUUUUCCCCUGUAAUAUAGCAAAGAUCAAGAAAAAGCCAAAAAAGUAUAUUUAGGUCAAAAUUUGGAGUAGAAAAAAAAACAAUAGAAGAAUUCCAUUUUCCUUCCUCAGUCAUCGGAGAGCUCUCUUUGGGCUUUCCGAAAAGGUAUCAAAUGCCAAGUUUGGCCUCACGGUCUAAAAGUUAUAGAGUCAUACAUUUUUAACAAUACAAAGUAGAGAAAACCGGAAAAAAGAGGGAUGCAACAUGAGGACUUUCCGGGAGGUAAUCCAUCCUAGUACAACUCUUGCCCAAGCACCCUUAACUGCGGAGUUCUGAUGGAAUCCGGUGCAUUAGUGCUGGUAUGAUCGCAUGUGUUACUACAUGCAAUGUAAUCGUAUCUAUUCUUUUUUAAAGACUUUAUGAUCCAUUUGCCGUGGGUCCCACCAGCUAUGUAGGAAUACCCUAUCUUCUUUAUAAGAGCUUUGAUACAUGCAAAAUAUAUGAAAAAACGUUCGAACAUAUAAUUUUUCCCCCCGUAAUAUAGCAAAGAUCACGAAAAGGCCCGAAAAAGUACAUUUAGUUCAAAAUUUGGAGUAGAAAAACCCAAUAGAAGAAUUCCAUUUUCCUUCGUCAUUCAUCGGAGAGCUCUCUUUGGGCUUUCCGAAAAGGUAUCACAUGCCAAGUUUGGCCUCACGGUCUAAACGUUAUAGAGUCAUACAUUUUUAACAAAACAAAAUUGAGAAAAACCGAAAAAAAGAGGGAUGCAACACGAGGACUCUCCAGAAGGUAACCCAUCUUAGUACUACUUUCGCCCAAGCACCCUUAACUGCGGAGUUCUGAUAGGACCCGGUGCAUUAGUGCUGGUAUGAUCGCAUGUGUUACUACAUGCAAUGUAAUCGUAUAUAUUCAUUUUUAAAGACUUUAUGAUCCAUUUGCCGUGGGUCCUACCAGCUAUGUAGAAAUACCCUAUCUUCUUUAUAAGAGCUUUCAUUCACGCAAAAUAAUGGAAAACAAUGUCCGAAGAUAUAAUUUCCCCCCCCCCCCGUAAUAUAGCAAAGAUCACGAAAAGGCCCGAAAAAGUACAUUAAGUUCAAAAUUUGGAGUAGAAAAAAAAACAAUAGAAGAAUUCCAUUUUCCUUCCUCAGUCAUCGGAGAGCUCUCUUUGGGCUUUCCGAAAAGGUAUCACAUGCCAAGCUUGGCCUCACGGUCUAAAGGUUAUAGAGUCAUACAUUUUUAACAAAAAAAAAAUAGAAAAACAGAAAAAAGAGGGAUGCAAUACGAGGACUUUCCAGGAGGUCACCCAUCCUAGUACAACUCUCGCCGAAGCACGCUUAACUACGGUGUUCAGAUGGAAUCUGGUGCAUUAGUGCUGGUAUGAUGUCAUUUGUUACUACAUGCAAUGCAAUCAUAUCUAUUCUUAUUUAAAGACUUUAUGAUCCAUUUGCCGUGGGUCCCACCUGUAGGAAUACCCUAUCUUGUUUAUAAAAGAUUUGAUACAUGCAAAAUACUCGAAAACAAUGUCCGAACAUAUAAUUUUCACCCCGUAAUAUAGCAAAGAUCACGAAAAGGCCCGAAAAAGUACAUUAAAGUCAAAAUUUGGAGUAGAAAAAAACCCAAUAGAAGUAUUCCAUUCUCCUUCGUCAUUCAUCGGAGAGCUCUCUUUAGGCUUUCCGAAAAGAUAUCACAUGCCAAGUUUGGCCUCACGGUUUAAAAGUUAUAGAGUCAUAGAUUUUUAACAAAACAAAAAGAGAAAAACCGAAAAAAAUUGGGAUGCAACACGAGGACUUUCCUGGAGGUCACCCAUCCUAGUACUACUCUCGCCCAAGCACCCUUAACUGCGUAGUUCUGAUGGGAUCCGAUGCUUUAGUGCUGGUAUGAUCGCAUCUGUUACUACAUGCAAUGUAAUCGUAUCUAUUCUUUUUUAAAGACUUUAUGAUCCAUUUGCCGUGGGUCCCACCAGCUAUGUAGGAAUACCCUAUCUUCUUUAUAAGAGCUUUGAUAAAUGCAAAAUAUUGGAAACCAAUGUCCGAACAUAUAAUUUCGCCCCCGUAAUAUAGCAAAGAUCACGAAAAAGCCCAAAAAAGUUCAUUUAGGUCAAAAUUUGAGCAGAAGAAAAAGAAAUAGAAGAAUUCCAUUUUCCUUCCUCAUUUAUUGGAGAGCUCUCUUUGGGCUUUCCGAAAAGGUAUCACAUGCCAAGUUUGGCCUCACGGUCUAAAAGUUAUAGAGUCAUACAUUUUUAACAAAAUGAAAUAGAGAAAAACCGAAAAAAAGAGGGAUGUAACACGAGGACUUUCCGGGAGGUAAUCUAUCCUACUACUACUCUCGGCCAAGCACCCUUAACUGCGGAGUUCUAAUGGGAUCCGGUGCAUUAGUGCUGGUAUGAUCGCAUGUGUUACUACAUGCAAUGUAAUCGUAUCUAUUCUUUUUUAAAGACUUUAUGAUCCAUUUGCCGUGGGUCCCACCAGCUAUGUAGGAAUACCCUAUUUUCUUUAUAAGAGCUUUGAUACAUGCAAAAUAUUGGAAAACAAUGUCCGAACAUAUUAUUUUCCCCCCGUAAUAUAGCAAAGAUCACGAAAAGGCCCGAAAAAGUACAUUUAGUUCAAAAUGUGGAGUAGAAAAAAAAACAAUAGAAGAAUUCCAUUUUCCUUCGUCAUUCAUCGGAGAGCUCUCUUUAGGCUUUCCGAAAAGGUAUCACAUGCCAAGUUUGGCCUCACGGUCUAAAAGUUAUAGAAUCAUACAUUUUUAACAAAACAAAAUAGAGAAAAACCGAAAAAGAGGGAUUUAACACGAGGACUUUCCGAGAGGUAACCCAUCCUAGUACUACUCUCGUCCAAGCACCCUUAACUGCGGAGUUCUGAUGGGAUCCGGUGUAUUAGUGCUGGUAUGAUCGCAUGUGUUACUACAUGCAAUGUAAUCGUAUCUAUUCUUUUUUAAAGACUUUAUAAUCCAUUUGCCGUGGGUCCCACCAGCUAUGUAGGAAUACCCUAUUUUCUUUAUAAGAGCUUUGAUACAUGCAAAAUAUUAGAAAACAAUGUCCGAACAUAUUAUUUUCCCCCCGUUAUAUAGCAAAGAUCACGAAAAGGCCCGAAAAAGUACAUUUAGUUCAAAAUUUGGAGUAGAAAAAAAAACAAUAGAAGAAUUCCAUUUUCCUUCGUCAUUCAUCGGAGAGCUCUCUUUAGGCUUUCCGAAAAGGUAUCACAUGCCAAGUUUGGCCUCACGGUCUAAAAGUUAUAGAGUCAUACAUUUUUAACAAAACAAAAUAGAGAAAAACCGAAAAAAGAGGGAUUUAACACGAGGACUUUCUGAGAGGUAACCCAUCCGAGUACUACACUCGCCCAAGCACCCUUAACUACGGAGUUCUGAUGGGAUACGGUGCAUUAGUGCUGGUUUGAUCGCAUCUGUUACUACAUGCAAUGUAAUCGUAUCUAUUCUUUUUUAAAGACUUUAUGAUCCAUUUGCCGUGGGUGCCACCAACUAUGUAGGAUUAUCCUAUAUUCUUUAUAAGAGCUUUGAUACAUGAAAAAUAUUCGAAAACAAUGUCCGAACAUAUAAUUUCCACCCGUAAUAUAGCAAAGAUCACGAAAAGGCCCAAAAAAGUACAUUAAGUUUAAAAUUUGGAGUAGAAAAAAAACCAAUAGAAGAAUUCCAUUUUCCUUCCUCAGUCAUCGGAGAGCUCUCUUUGGGCUUUCCGAAAAGGUAUCACAUGCCAAGUUUGACCUCACGGUCUAAAGGUUAUAGAGUCAUACAUUUUUAACAAAAAAAAAUAGAAAAACAGGAAAAAAGAGGGAUGCAAUACGAGGACUUUCCAGGAGGUCACCCAUCCUAGUACAACUCUCGCCGAAGCACGCUUAACUGCGGUGUUCAGAUGGGAUCUGGUGCAUUAGUGCUCGUAUGAUGGCAUUUGUUACUACAUGCAAUGCAAUCGUAUCUACUCUUAUUUAAAGACUUUAUGAUCCAUUUGCCGUGGGUGCCACCAACUAUGUAGGAUUAUCCUAUAUUCUUUAUAAGAGCUUUGAUACAUGCAAAAUAUUCGAAAGCAAUGUCCGAACAUAUAAUUUCCCCCCCGUAAUAUAGCAAAGAUCACGAAAAGGCCCGAAAAAGUACAUUUAGUUCAAAAUUUGGAGUAGAAAAAAAAACAAUAGAAGAAUUCCAUUUUCCUUCGUCAUUCAUCGGAGAGCUCUCUUUAGGCUUUCCGAAAAGGUAUCACAUGCCAAGUUUGGCCUCACGGUCUAAAAGUUAUAGAGUCAUACAUUUUCAACAAAACAAAAUAGAGAAACACCGAAAAAAGAGGGAUUUAACACGAGGACUUUCCGAGAGGUAACCCAUCCUAGUACUACUCUCGUCCAAGCACCCUUAACUGCGGAGUUCUGAUGGGAUCCGGUGCAUUAGUGCUGGUAUGAUCGCAUGUGUUACUACAUGCAAUGUAAUCAUAUCUAUUCUUUUUUUAAAGACUUUAUGAUUCAUUUGCCGUGGGUCCCACCAGCUAUGUAGGAAUACCCUAUUUUCUUUAUAACAGCUUUGAUACAUGCAAAAUAUUGGAAAACAAUGUCCGAACAUAUUAUUUUCCUCCCGUAAUAUAGCAAAGAUCACGAAAAGGCCCGAAAAAGUACAUUUAGUUCAAAAUUUGGAGUAGAAAAAAAAACAAUAGAAGAAUUCCAUUUUCCUUCGUCAUUCAUCGGAGAGCUCUCUUUAGGCUUUCCGAAAAGGUAUCACAUGCCAAGUUUGGCCUCACGGUCUAAAAGUAUAGAGUCAUACAUUUUUAAAAAAACAAAAUAGAGAAAAACCGAAAAAAGAGGGAUUUAACACGAGGACUUUCCGAGAGGUAACCCAUCCUAGUACUACUCUCGUCCAAGCACCCUUAACUGCGGAGUUCUAAUGGGAUCUGGUGCAUUAGUGCUGGUAUGAUCGCAUGUGUUACUACAUGCAAUGUAAUCGUAUCUAUUCUUUUUUAAAGACUUUAUGAUCCAUUUGCCGUGGGUCCCACCAGCUAUGUAGGAAUACCCUAUUUUCUUUAUAAGAGCUUUGAUACAUGCAAAAUAUUGGAAAACAAUGUCCGAACAUAUUAUUUUCCCCCCGUUAUAUAGCAAAGAUCACGAAAAGGCCCGAAAAAGUACAUUUAGUUCAAAAUUUGGAGUAGAAAGAAAAACAAUAGAAGAAUUCCAUUUUCCUUCGUCAUUCAUCUGAGAGCUCUCUUUAGGCUUUCCGAAAAGGUAUCACAUGCCAAGUUUGGCCUCACGGUCUAAAAGUUAUAGAGUCAUACAUUUUUAACAAAACAAAAUAGAGAAAAACCGAAAAAGAGGGAUUUAAGACGAGGACUUUCUGAGAGGUAACCCAUCCGAGUACUACACUCGCCCAAGCACCCUUAACUACGGAGUUCUGAUGGGAUACGGUGCAUUAGUGCUGGUUUGAUCGCAUGUGUUACUACAUGCAAUGUAAUCGUAUCUAUUCUUUUUUAAAGACUUUAUGAUCCAUUUGCCGUGGGUGCCACCAACUAUGUAGGAUUAUCCUAUAUUCUUUAUAAGAUCUUUGAUACUUGCAAAAUAUUCGAAAAAAAUGUCCGAACAUAUAAUUUCCCCCCCGUAAUAUAGCAAAGAUCACGAAAAGGCCCAAAAAAGUACAUUAAGUUUAAAAUUUGGAGUAGAAAAAAAACCAAUAGAAGAAUUCCAUUUUCCUUCCUCAGUCAUCGGAGAGCUCUCUUUGGGCUUUCCGAAAAGUUAUCACAUGCCAAGUUUGACCUCACGGUCUAAAGGUUAUAGAGUCAUACAUUUUUAACAAAAAAAAAUAGAAAAACAGGAAAAAAGAGGGAUGCAAUACGAGGACUUUCCAGCAGGUCACCCAUCCUAGUACAACUCUCGCCAAAGCACGCUUAACUGCGGUGUUCAGAUGGGAUCUGGUGCAUUAGUGCUUGUAUGAUGGCAUUUGUUACUACAUGCAAUGCAAUCGUAUCGAUUCUUAUUUAAAGACUUUAUGAUCCAUUUGUCGUGGGUGCCACCUGUAGGAAUACCCUAUCUUGUUUAUAAGAGAUUUGAUACAUGCAAAAUAUUCGAAAACAAUGUCCGAACAUAUAAUUUUUGCCCCGUAAUAUAGAAAAGAUCACAAAAAAGUCCAAAAAAGUACAUUUAGGUCAAAAUUUGAGCAGAAAAAAAAGAAAUAGAAGAAUUCCAUUUUCCUUCGUCAUUCAUCGGAGAGCUCUCUUUAGGCUUUCCGAAAAGAUAUCACAUGCCAAGUUUGGCCUCACGGUCUAAAAGUUAUAGAGUCAUACAUUUUUCACAAAACAAAAAGAGAAAAACCGAAAAAAAUAGGGAUGCAACACGAGGACUUUCCUGGAGGUCACCCAUCCUAGUACUAAUCUCGCCCAAGCACCCUUAACUGCGUAGUUCUGAUGGGAUCCGAUGCAUUAGUCCUGGUAUGAUCGCAUCUGUUACUAUAUGCAAUAUAAUCGUAUCUAUUCUUUUUUAAAGACUUUAUGAUCCAUUUGCCGUGGGUCCCACCAGCUAUGUAGGAUACCCUAUCUUCAUAAUAAGAGCUUUGAUAAAUGCAAAAUAUUGGAAAACAAUGUCCGAACAUAUAAUUUCCCCCCCCCCCCCCGUAAUAUAGCAAAGAUCACGAAAAAGCCCAAAAAAGUACAUUUAGGUCAAAAUUUGAGUAGAAAAAAAAACAAAUAGAGGAAUUCCAUUUUCCGUCCUCAUUCAUCGGAGAGCUCUCUUUCGGCUUUCCGAAAAGGUAUCACAUGCCAAGUUUGGCCUCACGGUCUAAAAGUUAUAGAGUCAUACAUUUUUAACAAAACAAAAUAGAGAAAAACCGAAAAAAAGAAGGAUGCAACACGAGGACUUCCCGGGAGGUCACCCAUCCUAGUACUACUCUCGCCUAAGCACCCUUAACUGCGGAGUUCUGAUGGGAUCAGGUGCAUUAGUGCUGGUAUGAUCGCAUGUGGUACUACAUGCAAUGUAAUCGUAUCUAUUCCUUUUGAAAGACUUUAUGAUCCAUUUGCCGUGGGUCCCACCAGCUAUGUAGGAAUACCCUAUCUUCUUUAUAAGAGCUUUGAUACAUGCAAAAUAUUUGAAAACAAUGUCCGAACAUAUAAUUUUCCCCCCGUUAUAUAGCAAAGAUCACGAAAAGGCCCAAAAAAGUACAAUUAGUUCAAAAUUUGGAGUAGAAAAAAAAACAAUAGAAGAAUUCCAUUUUCCUUCCUCAGUCAUCGGAGAGCUCUCUUUGGGCUUUCCAAAAAGGUAUCACAUGCCAAGUUUGGCCUCACAGUCUAAAAGUUAUAGAGUCAUACAUUUUUAACAAAACAAAAUAGAGAAAAACCGAAAAAAAGAGGGAUGCAACACGAGGACUUUCCGGGAGGUAACCCAUCCUAGUACUACUCUCGCCCAAGCACCCUUAACUGCGGAGUUUUGAUGGGAUCCGGUGCAUUAGUGUUGGUAUGAUCGCAUGUGUUACUACAUGCAAUGUAAUCGUAUCUAUUCCUUUUGAAAGACUUUAUGAUCCAUUUGCCGUGGGUCCCACCAGCUAUGUAGGAAUACCCUAUCUUCUUUAUAAGAGCUUUGAUACAUACAAAAUAUUGGAUCACAAUGUCAUAACAUAUAAUUUUCCCCCCUUAAUAUAGCAAAGAUCACGAAAAGGCCCGAAAAAAUACAUUUAGUUCAAAAUUUGGAGUAGAAAAAAAAAAUAUAAGAAUUCCAUUUUCCUUCCUCUGUUAUCGGAGAGCUCUCUUUGGGCUUUCCGAAAAGGUAUCACAUGCCAAGUUUGGCCUCACGGUCUAAAAGAUAUAAAGUCAUACAUUAUUAACAAAACAAAAUAGAGAAAAACCGAAAAAAAGAAGGAUGCAACACGAGGACUUUCCGGGAGGUAAUCUAUCCUAGUACUACUCUCGCCCAAGCACCCUUAACUGCGGAGUUCUGAUGGGAUCCGGUGCAUUAGUGUUGGUAUGAUCGCAUGUGUUACUACAUGCAAUGUAACCGUAUCUAUUCUUUUUUAAAGACUUUAUGAUCCAUUUGCCGUGGGUCCCACCAGCUAUGUAGGAAUAUUCUAUCUUCUUUAUAAGAGCUUUGAUACAUGCAAAAUAUUGGAAAACAACGUCCGAACAUAUAAUUUCCCCCCCCCCCCGUAAUAUAGCAAAAAUCACGAAAAGGCCCGAAAAAGUACAUUUAGUUCAAAAUUUGCAGUAGAAAAAAAAACAAUAGAAGAAUUUCAUUUUCCUUCCUCAGUCAUCGGAGAGCUCUCUUUGGGCUUUCCAAAAAGGUAUCACAUGCCAAGUUUGGCCUCACAGUCUAAAAGUUAUAGAGUCAUACAUUUUUAACAAAACAAAAUAGAGAAAAACCGAAAAAAGAGGGAUGCAACACGAGGACUUUCCCGGAGGUAAUCUAUCCUAGUACUACUCUCGCCCAAGCACCCUUAACUGCGGAGUUCUGAUGGGAUCCGGUGCAGUAGUGCUGGUAUGAUCGCAUGUGUUACUACAUGCAAUGUAAUCGUAUCUAUUCUUUUUUAAAGACUUUAUGAUCCAUUUGCCGUGAGUCCCACCAGCUAUGUAGGAAUAUUCUAUCUUCUUUAUAAGAGCUUUGAUACAUGCAAAAUACUGGAAAACAAUGUCCGAACAUAUAAUUUUCCCCACGUAAUAUAGCAAAGAUCACGAAAAGGCCCGAAAAAGUACAUUUAGUUCAAAAUUUGGAGUAGAAAAAAAAACAAUAGAAGAAUUUCAUUUUCCUUCCCUAGUCAUCGGAGAGCUCUCUUUGGGCUUUCCAAAAAGGUAUCACAUGCCAAGUUUGGCCUCACAGUCUAAAAGUUAUAGAGUCAUACAUUUUUAACAAAACAAAAUAGAGAAAAACCGAAAAAAAAGAGGGAUGCAACACGAGGACUUUCUGGGAGGUAAUCUAUCCUAGUACUACUCUCGCCCAAGCACCCUUAACUGCGGAGUUCUGAUGGGAUCCGGUGCAGUAGUGCUGGUAUGAUCGCAUGUGUUACUACAUGCAAUGUAAUCGUAUCUAUUCUUUUUUAAAGACUUUAUGAUCCAUUUGCCGUGAGUCCCACCAGCUAUGUAGGAAUAUUCUAUCUUCUUUAUAAGAGCUUUGAUACAUGCAAAAUACUGGAAAACAAUGUCCGAACAUAUAAUUUUCCCCCCGUAAUAUAGCAAAGAUCACGAAAAGGCCCAGAAAAGUACAUUUAGUUCAAAAUUUGGAGUAGAAAAAAAAACAAUAGAAGAAUUCCAUUUUCCUUCCUCAAUCAUCGGAGAGCUCUCUUUGGGCUUUCCGAAAAGGUAUCUCAUGCCAAGUUUGGCCUCACGAACUAAAAGUUAUAGAGUCAUACAUUUUUAACAAAACAAAAUAGAGAAAAACCGAAAAAAGAGGGAUGCAACACAAGGACUUUCCGGGAGGUCACCCAUCCUAGUACUACUCUCGCCCAAGCACCCUUAACUGCGGAGUUCUGAUGGGAUCCAGUGCAUUAGUGCUGGUAUGAUCGCAUGUGUUACUACAUGCAAUGUAAUCGUAUCUAUUCUUUUUUAAAGAUUUUAUGAUCCAUUUGCCGUGGGUCCCACCAGCUAUGUAGGAAUACCCUAUCUUCUUUAUAAGAGCUUUGAUACAUACAAAAUAUUGGAUCACAAUGUCAGAACAUAUAAUUUUCCCCCCUUAAUAUAGCAAAGUUCACUAAAAGGCCCGAAAAAAUACAUUUAGUUCAAAAUUUGGAGUAGAAAAAAAAACAAUAGAAGAAUUUCAUUUUCCUUCCUCAGUCAUCGGAGAGCUCUCUUUGGGCUUUCCAAAAAGGUAUCACAUGCCAAGUUUGGCCUCACAGUCUAAAAGUUAUAGAGUCAUACAUUUUUAACAAAACAAAAUAGAGAAAAACCGAAAAAAGAGGGAUGCAACACGAGGACUUUCCCGGAGGUAAUCUAUCCUAGUACUACUCUCGCCCAAGCACCCUUAACUGCGGAGUUCUGAUGGGAUCCGGUGCAGUAGUGCUGGUAUGAUCGCAUGUGUUACUACAUGCAAUGUAAUCGUAUCUAUUCUUUUUUAAAGACUUUAUGAUCCAUUUGCCGUGAGUCCCACCAGCUAUGUAGGAAUAUUCUAUCUUCUUUAUAAGAGCUUUGAUACAUGCAAAAUACUGGAAAACAAUGUCCGAACAUAUAAUUUUCCCCACGUAAUAUAGCAAAGAUCACGAAAAGGCCCGAAAAAGUACAUUUAGUUCAAAAUUUGGAGUAGAAAAAAAAACAAUAGAAGAAUUUCAUUUUCCUUCCUCAGUCAUCGGAGAGCUCUCUUUGGGCUUUCCAAAAAGGUAUCACAUGCCAAGUUUGGCCUCACAGUCUAAAAGUUAUAGAGUCAUACAUUUUUAACAAAACAAAAUAGAGAAAAACCGAAAAAAAAGAGGGAUGCAACACGAGGACUUUCUGGGAGGUAAUCUAUCCUAGUACUACUCUCGCCCAAGCACCCUUAACUGCGGAGUUCUGAUGGGAUCCGGUGCAGUAGUGCUGGUAUGAUCGCAUGUGUUACUACAUGCAAUGUAAUCGUAUCUAUUCUUUUUUAAAGACUUUAUGAUCCAUUUGCCGUGAGUCCCACCAGCUAUGUAGGAAUAUUCUAUCUUCUUUAUAAGAUCUUUGAUACAUGCAAAAUACUGGAAAACAAUGUCCGAACAUAUAAUUUUCCCCCCGUAAUAUAGCAAAGAUCACGAAAAGGCCCAGAAAAGUACAUUUAGUUCAAAAUUUGGAGUAGAAAAAAAAACAAUAGAAGAAUUCCAUUUUCCUUCCUCAAUCAUCGGAGAGCUCUCUUUGGGCUUUCCGAAAAGGUAUCUCAUGCCAAGUUUGGCCUCACGAACUAAAAGUUAUAGAGUCAUACAUUUUUAACAAAACAAAAUAGAGAAAAACCGAAAAAAGAGGGAUGCAACACAAGGACUUUCCGGGAGGUCACCCAUCCUAGUACUACUCUCGCCCAAGCACCCUUAACUGCGGAGUUCUGAUGGGAUCCAGUGCAUUAGUGCUGGUAUGAUCGCAUGUGUUACUACAUGCAAUGUAAUCGUAUCUAUUCUUUUUUAAAGAUUUUAUGAUCCAUUUGCCGUGGGUCCCACCAGCUAUGUAGGAAUACCCUAUCUUCUUUAUAAGAGCUUUGAUACAUACAAAAUAUUGGAUCACAAUGUCAGAACAUAUAAUUUUCCCCCCUUAAUAUAGCAAAGUUCACUAAAAGGCCCGAAAAAAUACAUUUAGUUCAAAAUUUGGAGUAGAAAAAAAAACAAUAGAAGAAUUUCAUUUUCCUUCCUCAGUCAUCGGAGAGCUCUCUUUGGGCUUUCCAAAAAGGUAUCACAUGCCAAGUUUGGCCUCACAGUCUAAAAGUUAUAGAGUCAUACAUUUUUAACAAAACAAAAUAGAGAAAAACCGAAAAAAAGAGGGAUGCAACACGAGGACUUUCUGGGAGGUAAUCUAUCCUAGUACUACUCUCGCCCAAGCACCCUUAACUGCGGAGUUCUGAUGGGAUCCGGUGCAGUAGUGCUGGUAUGAUCGCAUGUGUUACUACAUGCAAUGUAAUCGUAUCUAUUCUUUUUUAAAGACUUUAUGAUCCAUUUGCCGUGAGUCCCACCAGCUAUGUAGGAAUAUUCUAUCUUCUUUAUAAGAGCUUUGAUACAUGCAAAAUACUGGAAAACAAUGUCCGAACAUAUAAUUUUCCCCCCGUAAUAUAGCAAAGAUCACGAAAAGGCCCGAAAAAGUACAUUUAGUUCAAAAUUUGGAGUAGAAAAAAAAACAAUAGAAGAAUUCCAUUUUCCUUCCUCAAUCAUCGGAGAGCUCUCUUUGGGCUUUCCGAAAAGGUAUCUCAUGCCAAGUUUGGCCUCACGAACUAAAAGUUAUAGAGUCAUACAUUUUUAACAAAACAAAAUAGAGAAAAACCGAAAAAAGAGGGAUGCAACACAAGGACUUUCCGGGAGGUCACCCAUCCUAGUACUACUCUCGCCCAAGCACCCUUAACUGCGGAGUUCUGAUGGGAUCCAGUGCAUUAGUGCUGGUAUGAUCGCAUGUGUUACUACAUGCAAUGUAAUCGUAUCUAUUCUUUUUUAAAGAUUUUAUGAUCCAUUUGCCGUGGGUCCCACCAGCUAUGUAGGAAUACCCUAUCUUCUUUAUAAGAGCUUUGAUACAUACAAAAUAUUGGAUCACAAUGUCAGAACAUAUAAUUUUCCCCCCUUAAUAUAGCAAAGUUCACUAAAAGGCCCGAAAAAAUACAUUUAGUUCAAAAUUUGGAGUAGAAAAAAAAACAAUAGAAGAAUUUCAUUUUCCUUCCUCAGUCAUCGGAGAGCUCUCUUUGGGCUUUCCAAAAAGGUAUCACAUGCCAAGUUUGGCCUCACAGUCUAAAAGUUAUAGAGUCAUACAUUUUUAACAAAACAAAAUAGAGAAAAACCGAAAAAAAGAGGGAUGCAACACGAGGACUUUCUGGGAGGUAAUCUAUCCUAGUACUACUCUCGCCCAAGCACCCUUAACUGCGGAGUUCUGAUGGGAUCCGGUGCAGUAGUGCUGGUAUGAUCGCAUGUGUUACUACAUGCAAUGUAAUCGUAUCUAUUCUUUUUUAAAGACUUUAUGAUCCAUUUGCCGUGAGUCCCACCAGCUAUGUAGGAAUAUUCUAUCUUCUUUAUAAGAGCUUUGAUACAUGCAAAAUACUGGAAAACAAUGUCCGAACAUAUAAUUUUCCCCCCGUAAUAUAGCAAAGAUCACGAAAAGGCCCGAAAAAGUACAUUUAGUUCAAAAUUUGGAGUAGAAAAAAAAACAAUAGAAGAAUUCCAUUUUCCUUCCUCAAUCAUCGGAGAGCUCUCUUUGGGCUUUCCGAAAAGGUAUCUCAUGCCAAGUUUGGCCUCACGAACUAAAAGUUAUAGAGUCAUACAUUUUUAACAAAACAAAAUAGAGAAAAACCGAAAAAAGAGGGAUGCAACACAAGGACUUUCCGGGAGGUCACCCAUCCUAGUACUACUCUCGCCCAAGCACCCUUAACUGCGGAGUUCUGAUGGGAUCCGGUGCAUUAGUGCUGGUAUGAUCGCCCGUGUUACUACAUGCAAUGCAAUCGUAUCUAUUCUUUUUUAAAGAUUUUAUGAUCCAUUUGCCGUGGGUCCCACCAGCUAUGUAGGAAUACCCUAUCUUCUUUAUAAGAGGUUUGAUACAUACAAAAUAUUGGAUCACAAUGUCAGAACAUAUAAUUUUCCCCCCUUAAUAUAGCAAAGAUCACUAAAAGGCCCGAAAAAAUACAUUUAGUUCAAAAUUUGGAGUAGAAAAAAAAACAAUAGAAGAAUUCCAUUUUCCUUCCUCAGUUAUCGGAGAACUCUCUUUGGGCUUUCCGAAAAGGUAUCACAUGCCAAGUUUGGCCUCACGGUCUAAAAGAUAUAGAGUCAUACAUUAUUAACAAAACAAAAUAGAGAAAAACCGAAAAAAAGAAGGAUGCAACACGAGGACUUUGCGGGAGGUAAUCUAUCCUAGUACUACUCUCGCCCAAGCACCCUUAACUGCGGAGUUCUGAUGGGAUCCGGUGCAUUAGUGCUGGUAUGAUCGCAUGUGUUACUACAUGCAAUGUAAUCGUAUCUAUUCUUUUUUAAAGACUUUAUGAUCCAUUUGCCGUGGGUCCNNNNNNNNNNNNNNNNNNNNNNNNNNNNNNNNNNNNNNNNNNNNNNNNNNACAUGCCAAGUUUGGCCUUACGGUCUAAAAGUUAUAGAGUAAUACANUUUUUAACAAAAAAAAAAGAAAAAAACCGAAAACAAAGAGGGAUGCAACACGAAGACUUUCCUGGAGGUCACCCAUCCUAGUACUACUCUCGCCCAAGCACACUUAACUGCGGUGUUCUGAUAGGAUCAAGUGCAUUAGUGCUGGUAUGAUCGCAUCAGUUACUACAUGCAAUGCAAUCAUAUAUAUUCUUUUUUGAAGACUUUAUGAUCCAUUUGCCGUAGGUCCCACCAGCUAUGUAGGAAUACCCUAUCUCGUUUAUAAGAGCUUUGAUACAUGCAAAAUAUUCGAAAACAAUGUCCGAACAUAUAAUUUUUGUCCCGUAAUAUAGCAAAGAUCGCGAAAAGGCCAUAAAAAAUACAUUUCGGUCAAAAUUUGGAGUAGAAAAAAAACCCUUCCUCAUUCAUUGGACAGCUCUCUUUGGGCUUUCCGAAAAGGUAUCACAUGCCAAGUUUGGCCUCACGGUCUAAACCUUAUAGACUCAUACAUUUUUCACAAAAAAAAGAAGAGAAAAACCAAAAAAAAGAGUGAUUAAACACGAGGACUUUCCUGGAGGUCACCCAUCCUAGUACUACUCUCGCCCAAGCACGCUUAACUGCGAAGUUCUGAUGGGAUCUGGUGCAUUAGUGCUGGUAUGAUCGCAUCUGUUACUACAUGCAAUGCAAUCGUAUUUAUUCUUUUUUGAAGAUUUUAUGAUUCAUUUACCGUGGGUCCCACCAGCUAUGUAGGAAUAACCUAUCUUAUUUAUAAAAGCUUUGAUACAUGCAAAAUAUUAGAAAACAAUGUCCGAACAUAUAAUGUUCGCCCCAAAAUAUAGCAAAGACCACAAAAAUGCCAUAAAAAGUACAUUAAGGUCAAAAUUUGGAGUAGGAAAAAAAUCAAUAGGAGAAUUCCAUUUUCCUUCCUUCAUUCAUCGGAGAGCUCUCUUUGGGCAUUCCAAAAAGGUAUCACAUGCCAAGUUUGGCCUCACGGUCUAAAAGUUAUAGAGUAAUACAUUUUUAACAAAAAAAAAAGAAAAAAACCGAAAACAAAGAGGGAUGCAACACGAAGACUUUCCUGGAGGUCACCCAUCCUAGUACUACUCUCGCCCAAGCACACUUAACUGCGGUGUUCUGAUAGGAUCAAGUGCAUUAGUGCUGGUAUGAUCGCAUCAGUUACUACAUGCAAUGCAAUCAUAUAUAUUCUUUUUUGAAGACUUUAUGAUCCAUUUGCCGUAGGUCCCACCAGCUAUGUAGGAAUACCCUAUCUCGUUUAUAAGAGCUUUGAUACAUGCAAAAUAUUCGAAAACAAUGUCCGAACAUAUAAUUUUUGUCCCGUAAUAUAGCAAAGAUCACGAAAAGGCCAGAAAAAAUACAUUUCGGUCAAAAUUUGGAGUAGAAAAAAAACCCUUCCUCAUUCAUUGGACAGCUCUUUUUGGGCUUUCCGAAAAGGUAUCACAUGCCAAGUUUGGCCUCACGGUCUAAACCUUAUAGACUCAUACAUUUUUCACAAAAAAAAGAAGAGAAAAACCAAAAAAAAGAGUGAUUAAACACGAGGACUUUCCUGGAGGUCACCCAUCCUAGUACUACUCUCGCCCAAGCACGCUUAACUGCGAAGUUCUGAUGGGAUCUGGUGCAUUAGUGCUGGUAUGAUCGCAUCUGUUACUACAUGCAAUGCAAUCGUAUCUAUUCUUUUUUGAAGAUUUUAUGAUUCAUUUACCGUGGGUCCCACCAGCUAUGUAGGAAUAACCUAUCUUAUUUAUAAAAGCUUUGAUACAUGCAAAAUAUUCGAAAACAAUGUCCGAACAUAUAAUGUUCGCCCCAAAAUAUAGCAAAGACCACAAAAAUGCCAUAAAAAGUACAUUAAGGUCAAAAUUUGGAGUAGGAAAAAAAUCAAUAGGAGAAUUCCAUUUUCCUUCCCUCAUUCAUCGGAGAGCUCUCUUUGGGCAUUCCAAAAAGGUAUCACAUGCCAAGUUUGGCCUCACGGUCUAAAAGUUAUAGAGUAAUACAUUUUUAACAAAAACAAAAGAAAAAAACCGAAAACAAAGAGGGAUGCAACACGAAGACUUUCCUGGAGGUCACCCAUCCUAGUACUACUCUCGCCCAAGUACACUUAACUGCGGUGUUCUGAUAGGAUCAAGUGCAUUAGUGCUGGUAUGAUCGCAUCAGUUACUACAUGCAAUGCAAUCAUAUAUAUUCUUUUUUGAAGACUUUAUGAUCCAUUUGCCGUAGGUCCCACCAGCUAUGUAGGAAUACCCUAUCUUGUUUAUAAGAGCUUUCAUACAUGCAAAAUAUUCAAAAACAAUGUCCGAACAUAUAAUUUUUGUCCCGUAAUAUAGCAAAGAUCACGAAAAGGCCAGAAAAAAUACAUUUCGGUCAAAAUUUGGAGUAGAAAAAAAACCCUUCCUCAUUCAUUGGACAGCUCUCUUUGGGCUUUCUGAAAAGGUAUCACAUGCCAAGUUUGGCCUCACGGUCUAAACCUUAUAGACUCAUACAUUUUUCACAAAAAAAAGAAGAGAAAAACCAAAAAAAAGAGUGAUUAAACACGAGGACUUUCCUGGAGGUCACCCAUCCUAGUACUACUCUCGCCCAAGCACGCUUCACUGCGAAGUUCUGAUGGGAUCUGGUGCAUUAGUGCUGGUAUGAUCGCAUCUGUUACUACAUGCAAUGCAAUCGUAUCUAUUCUUUUUUGAAGAUUUUAUGAUUCAUUUACCGUGGGUCCCACCAGAUAGGAAUAACCUAUCUUAUUUAUAAAAGCUUUGAUACAUGCAAAAUAUUCGAAAACAAUGUCCGAACAUAUAAUGUUCGCCCCAAAAUAUAGCAAAGACCACAAAAAUGCAAUAAAAAGUACAUUAAGGUCAAAAUUUGGAGUAGGAAAAAAAUCAAUAGGAGAAUUCCAUUUUCCUUCCCUCAUUUAUCGGAGAGCUCUCUUUGGGCAUUCCAAAAAGGUAUCACAUGCCAAGUUUGGCCUCACGGUCUAAAAGUUAUAGAGUAAUACAUUUUUAACAAAACAAAAAAGAAAAAAACCGAAAACAAAGAGGGAUGCAACACGAAGACUUUCCUGGAGGUCACCCAUCCUAGUACUACUCUCGCCCAAGCACACUUAACUGCGGUGUUCUGAUAGGAUCAAGUGCAUUAGUGCUGGUAUGAUCGCAUCAGUUACUACAUGCAAUGCAAUCAUAUAUAUUCUUUUUUGAAGACUUUAUGAUCCAUUUGCCGUAGGUCCCACCAGCUAUGUAGGAAUACCCUAUCUUGUUUAUAAGAGCUUUGAUACAUGCAAAAUAUACGAAAACAAUGUCCGAACAUAUAAUUUUUGUCCCGUAAUAUAGCAAAAAGGCCAGAAAAAAUACAUUUCGGUCAAAAUUUGGAGUAGAAAAAAAACCCUUCCUCAUUCAUUGGACAGCUCUCUUUGGGCUUUCCGAAAAGGUAUCACAUGCCAAGUUUGGCCUCACGGUCUAAACCUUAUAGGCUCAUACAUUUUUCACAAAAAAAAGAAAAGAAAAACCAAAAAAAAGAGUGAUUAAACACGAGGACUUUCCGGGAGGUCACCCAUCCUAGUACUACUCUCGCCGAAGCACGCUUAACUGCGAAGUUCUGAUGGGAUCUGGUGCAUUAGUGCUGGUAUGAUCGCAUCUGUUACUACAUGCAAUGCAAUCGUAUCUAUUCUUUUUUGAAGAUUUUAUGAUUCAUUUACCGUGGGUCCCACCAGCUAUGUAGGAAUAACCUAUCUUAUUUAUAAAAGCUUUGAUACAUGCAAAAUAUUCGAAAACAAUGUCCGAACAUAUAAUGUUCGCCCCAAAAUAUAGCAAAGACCACAAAAAUGCCAUAAAAAGUACAUUAAGGUCAAAAUUUGGAGUAGGAAAAAAAUCAAUAGGAGAAUUCCAUUUUCCUUCCCUCAUUCAUCGGAGAGCUCUCUUUGGGCAUUCCAAAAAGGUAUCACAUGCCAAGUUUGGCCUCACGGUCUAANAGUUAUAGAGUAAUACAUUUUUAACAAAAAAAAAAGAAAAAAACCGAAAACAAAGAGGGAUGCAACACGAAGACUUUCCUGGAGGUCACCCAUCCUAGUACUACUCUCGCCCAAGUACACUUAACUGCGGUGUUCUGAUAGGAUCAAGUGCAUUAGUGCUGGUAUGAUCGCAUCAGUUACUACAUGCAAUGCAAUCAUAUAUAUUCUUUUUUGAAGACUUUAUGAUCCAUUUGCCGUAGGUCCCACCAGCUAUGUAGGAAUACCCUAUCUUGUUUAUAAGAGCUUUGAUACAUGCAAAAUAUUCGAAAACAAUGUCCGAACAUAUAAUUUUUGUCCCGUAAUAUAGCAAAGAUCACGAAAAGGCCAGAAAAAAUACAUUUCGGUCAAAAUUUGGAGUAGAAAAAAAGCCCUUCCUCAUUCAUUGGACAGCUCUCUUUGGGCUUUCCGAAAAGGUAUCACAUGCCAAGUUUGGCCUCACGGUCUAAACCUUAUAGACUCAUACAUUUUUCACAAAAAAAAGAAGAGAAAAACCAAAAAAAAGAGUGAUUAAACACGAGGAUUUUCCUGGAGGUCACCCAUCCUAGUACUACUCUCGCCCAAGCACGCUUAACUGCGAANNNNNNNNNNNNNNNNNNNNNNNNNNNNNNNNNNNNNNNNNNNNNNNNNNGUGUUACUACAUGCAAUGUAAUCGUAUCUAUUCUUUUUUAAAGACUUUAUGAUCCAUUUGCCGUGGGUCCCACCAGCUAUGUAGGAAUAUCCUAUAUUCUUUAUAAGAGCUUUGAUACAUGCAAAAUAUUCGAAAACAAUGUCCGAACAUAUAAUUUCCCCCCCGUAAUAUAGCAAAGAUCACGAAAAGGCCCAAAAAAGUACAUUAAGUUUAAAAUUUGGAGUAGAAAAAAAACCAAUAGAAAAAUUCCAUUUUCCUUCCUCAGUCAUCGAAGAGCUCUCUUUGGGCUUUCUGAAAAGGUAUCACAUGCCAAGUUUGGCCUCACGGUCUAAAAGUUAUAGAGUCAUACAUUUUUAACAAAACAAAAAGAGAAAAACCGAAAAAAACAGGGAUGCAACACGAGGACUUUCCUGGAGGUCUCCCAUCCUAGUACUACUCUCGCCCAAGCACCCUUAACUGCGUAGUUCUGAUGGGAUCCGAUGCAUUAGUGCUGGUAUGAUCGCAUCUGUUACUACAUGCAAUGUAAUCGUAUCUAUUCUUUUUUAAAGACNUUUAUGAUCCAUUUGCCGUGGGUCCCACCAGCUAUGUAGGAAUACCCUAUCUUCUUAAUAAGAGCCUUGAUAAAUGCAAAAUAUUGGAAAACAAUGUCCGAACAUAUAAUGCCCCCCCCCCCGUAAUAUAGCAAAGAUCACGAAAAUGCCCAAAAAAGUACAUUUAGGUCAAAAUUUGAGUAGAAAAAAAAACAAUAGAAGAAUUCCAUUUUCCUUCCUCAUUUAUCGGAGAGCUCUCUUUGGGCUUUCCGAAAAGGUAUCACAUGACAAGUUUGGCCUCACGGUCUAAAAGAUAUAGAGUCAUACAUUAUUAACAAAACAAAAUAGAGAAAAACCGAAAAAAAAGAGGGAUGCAACGCGAGGACUUUCCGGGAGGUAAUCUAUCCUAGUACUACUCUCGCCCAAGCACCCUUACCUGCGGAGUUCUGAUGGGAUCCGGUGCAGUAGUGCUGGUAUGAUCGCAUGUGUUACUACAUGCAAUGCAAUCAUAUAUAUUCUUUUUUGAAGACUUUAUGAUCCAUUUGCCGUAGGUCCCACCAGCUAUGUAGGAAUACCCUAUCUUGUUUAUAAGAGCUUUGAUACAUGCAAAAUAUUCGAAAACAAUGUCCGAACAUAUAAUUUUUGUCCCGUAAUAUAGCAAAGAUCACGAAAAGGCCAGAAAAAAUACAUUUCGGUCAAAAUUUGGAGUAGAAAAAAACCCCUUCCUCAUUCAUUGGACAGCUCUCUUUGGGCUUUCCGAAAAGGUAUCACAUGCCAAGUUUGGUCUCACGGUUUAAAAGUUAUAGAGUCAUACAUUUUUCACAAAAAAAAGAAGAGAAAAAACAAAAAAAAGAGUGAUGAAACACGAGGACUUUCCUAGAGGUCACCCAUCCUAGUACUACUCUCGCCCAAGCACGCGUAACUGCGAAGUUCUGAUGGGAUCUGGUGCAUUAGUGCUGGUAUGAUCGCAUCUGUUACUACAUGCAAUGCAAUCGUAUCUAUUCUUUUUUGAAGAUUUUAUGAUCCAUUUGCAGUGGGUCCCACCAGCUAUGUAGGAAUACCCUAUCUUGUUUAUAAGAGCUUUGAUACAUGCAAAAUCUUCGAAAACAAUGUCCGAACAUAUAAUUUUCGCCCCGUAAUAUAGCAAAGAUCACGAAAAUGCCAAAAUAGUACAUUAAGGUCAAAAUUUGGAGUAGGAAAAAAAACCCUUCAUCAUUCAUUGGAGAGCUCUCUCUGGGCUUUCCGAAAAGGUAUCACAUGCCAAGUUUGGCCUCACGGUCUAAAAGUUAUAAAGUCAUACAUUUUUAACAAAAAAAAAAGAGAAAAACCGAAAAAAAGAGUUAUGUAACACGAGGACUUUCCUGGAGGUCACCCGUCCUAGUACUACUCUCGCCCAAACACGCUUAACUGUGGUGUUCUGAUAGGAUCAAGUGCAUUAGUGCUGGUAUGAUCGCAUCAGUUACUACAUGCAAUGCAAUCAUAUAUAUUCUUUUUUGAAAACUUUAUGAUCCAUUUGCCGUAGGUCCCACCAGCUAUGUCGGAAUACCCUAUCUUGUUUAUAAGAGCUUUGAUACAUGCAAAAUAUUCGAAAACAAUGUCCGAACAUAUAAUUUUUGUCCCGUAAUAUAGCAAAGAUCACGAAAAGGCCAAAAAAAAUACAUUUCGGUCAAAAUUUGGAGUAGAAAAAAACCCCUUCCUCAUUCAUUCGACAACUCUCUUUGGGCUUUCCGAAAAGGUAUCACAUGCCAAGUUUGGUCUCACGGUCUAAAAGUUAUAGAGUCAUACAUUUUUCACAAAAAAAAGAAGAGAAAAAACCAAAAAAAGAGUGAUGAAACACGAGGACUUUCCUGGAGGUCACUCAUGCUAGUACUACUCUCGCCCAAGCACGCUUAACUGCGAAGUUCUGAUGGGAUCUGGUGCAUUGGUGAUGGUAUGAUCGCAUCUGUUACUACAUGCAAUGCAAUCGUAUCUAUUUUUUUUUGAAGAUUUUAUGAUCCAUUUGCAGUGUGUCCCACCAGCUAUGUAGGAAUACCCUAUCUUGUUUAUAAGAGCUUUGAUACAUGCAAAAUAUUCGAAAACAAUGUCCGAACAUAUAAUUUUUGUCCCGUAAUAUAGCAAAGAUCACGAAAAGACCAGAAAAAAUACAUUUCGGUCAAAAUUUGGAGUAGAAAAAAAACCCUUCCUCAUUCAUUGGACAGCUCUCUUUGGGCUUUCCGAAAAGGUAUCACAUGCCAAGUUUGGUCUCACGGUUUAAAAGUUAUAGAGUCAUACAUUUUUCACAAAAAAAAGAAGAGAAAAAACAAAAAAAAGAGUGAUGAACCACGAGGACUUUCCUGGAGGUCACCCAUCCUAGUACUACUCUCGCCCAAGCACGCGUAACUGCGAAGUUCUGAUGGGAUCUGGUGCAUUAGUGCUGGUAUGAUCACAUCUGUUACUACAUGCAAUGCAAUCGUAUCUAUUCUUUUUUGAAGAUUUUAUGAUCCAUUUGCAGUGGGUCCCACCAGCUAUGUAGGAAUACCCUAUCUUGUUUAUAAGAGCUUUGAUACAUGCAAAAUCUUCGAAAACAAUGUCCGAACAUAUAAUUUUCGCCCCGUAAUAUAGCAAAGAUCACGAAAAUGCCAAAAUAGUACAUUUAGGUCAAAAUUUGGAGUAGGAAAAAAAAACCUUCAUCAUUCAUUGGAUAGCUCUCUCUGGGCUUUUCGAAAAGGUAUCACAUGCCAAGUUUGGCCUCACGGUCUAAAAGUUAUAAAGUCAUACAUUUUUAACAAAAAAAAAAGAGAAAAACCGAAAAAAAGAGUUAUGAACCACGAGGACUUUCCUGGAGGUCACCCGUCCUAGUACUACUCUCGCCCAAACACGCUUAACUGCGGUGUUCUGAUAGGAUCAAGUGCAUUAGUGCUGGUAUGAUCGCAUCAGUUACUACAUGCAAUGCAAUCAUAUAUAUUCUUUUUUGAAGACUUUAUGAUCCAUUUGCCGUAGGUCCCACCAGCUAUGUAGGAAUACCCUAUCUUGUUUAUAAGAGCUUUGAUACAUGCAAAAUAUUCGAAAACAAUGUCCGAACAUAUAAUUUUUGUCCCGUAAUAUAGCAAAGAUCACGAAAAGGCCAAAAAAAAUACAUUUCGGUCAAAAUUUGGAGUAGAAAAAAACCCCUUCCUCAUUCAUUGGACAGCUCUCUUUGGGCUUUCCGAAAAGGUAUCACAUGCCAAGUUUGGUCUCACGGUCUAAAAGUUAUAGAGUCAUACAUUUUUCAGAAAAAAAAGAAGAGAAAAAACCAAAAAAAGAGUGAUGAAACACGAGGACUUUCUUGGAGGCCACCCAUCCUAGUACUACUCUCGCCCAAGCACGCUUAACUGCGAAGUUCUGAUGGGAUCUGGUGCAUUAGUGAUGGUAUGAUCGCAUCUGUUACUACAUGCAAUGCAAUCGUAUCUAUUCUUUUUUGAAGAUUUUAUGAUCCAUUUGCAGUGGGUCCCACCAGCUAUGUAGGAAUACCCUAUCUUGUUUAUAAGAGCUUUGAUACAUGCAAAAUAUUCGAAAACAAUGUCCGAACAUAUAAUUUUCGCCCCGUAAUAUAGCAAAGAUCACGAAAAUGCCGAAAUAGUACAUUAAGGUCAAAAUUUGGAGUAGGAAAAAAAAACCUUCCUCAUUCAUUGGAGAGCUCUCUUUGGGUUUUCCGAAAAGGUAUCACAUGCCAAGUUUGGCCUCACGGUCUAAAAGUUAUAAAGUCAUACAUUUUUAACAAAAAAAAAAAGAGAAAAACCGAAAAAAAGAGUUAUGCAACACGAGGACUUUCCUGGAGGUCACCCGUCCUAGUACUACUCUCGCCCAAACACGCUUAACUACGGUGUUCUGAUAGGAUCAAGUGCAUUAGUGCUGGUAUGAUCGCAUCAGUUACUACAUGCAAUGCAAUCAUAUAUAUUCUUUUUUGAAGACUUCAUGAUCCAUUUGCCGUAGGUCCCACCAGCUAUGUAGGAAUACCCUAUCUUGUUUAUAAGAGCUUUGAUACAUGCAAAAUAUUCGAAAACAAUGUCCGAACAUAUAAUUUUUGUCCCGUAAUAUAGCAAAGAUCACGAAAAGGCCAGAAAAAAUAAAUUUCGGUCAAAAUUUAGAGUAGAAAAAAACCCCUUCCUCAUUCAUUGGACAACUCUCUUUGGGCUUUCCGAAAAGGUAUCACAUGCCAAGUUUGGCCUCACGGUCUAAAAGUUAUAGAGUCAUACAUUUUUCACAAAAAAAAGAAGAGAAAAACCAAAAAAAAGAGUGAUGAAACACGAGGACUUUCCUGGAGGUCACCCAUCCUAGUACUACUCUCGCCCAAGCACGCUUAACGGCGGUGUUCUGAUAGGAUCAAUUACAUUUGUGCUGGUAUGAUCGCAUCAGUUACUACAUGCAAUGCGAUCAUAUAUAUUCUUUUUUGAAGACUUUACAAUCCAUUUGUCGUAGGUCCCACCAGCUAUGUAGGAAUCCCCUAUCUUGUUUAUAAGAGCUUUGAUACAUGCAAAAUAUUCGAAAACAAUGUUCGAACAUAUAAUUUUUCGCCCCGUAAUAUAGCAAAGAUCACGAAAAGGCCAGAAAAAGUACAUUUAGGUCAAAAUUUGGAGUAGAAAAAACCCCCCCUUCCUCAUUCAUUGGAGAGCUCUCUUUGGGCUUUCCGGAAAGGUAUCACAUGCCAAGUUUGGCCUCACGGUCUAAACCUUAUAGACUCAUACAUUUUUAACAAAAAAAAGAAGAGAAAAAACGAAAAAAAGAAGGAUACAACACGAGGACUUUCCGAGAGGUUACCCAUCUUCGUACUACUCUCGCACAAGUACGCUUAACUGCGGAGUUCUGAUGGGAUCUGGUGCAUUAGUGCUGGUAUGAUCGCAUCUGUUAUUACAUGCAAUGCAAUCGUAUCUAUUCUUUUUUCAAGACUUUAUGAUCCAUUUGCCGUGGGUCCCACCAGCUACGUAGGAAUACCCUAUCUUGUUUAUAAGAGCUUUGAUACAUGCAAAAUAUUCGAAAACAAUGUCCGAACAUAUAAUUUUCGUCCCGUAAUAUAGCAAAGAUCACAAAAAGGCCAGAAAGAGUACAUUUACGUCAAAAUUUGGAUAGAAAAAAAACAAAUAGAAGAAUUCCAUUUUGACUUCCUCAUUCAUCGGAAAGCUCUCUUUGGGCUUUCCGAAAAGGUAUCACAUGCCAAGUUUGGAAUCACGGUUUAAAAGUUAUAGAGUCAUACAUUUUUAACAAAAAAUAAAGAGAAAACCCGAAAAAUGAGGGAUGCAACACGAGGACUUUUCGGGAGGUCACCCAUCGUAGUACUACUCUCGCCCAAGCACGCUUAACUGUAGAGUUCUGAUGGGAUCCGGUUCAUUAUUGCUGGUAUGAUCGCAUCCGUUACUACAUGCAAUGCAAUCGUAUCUAUUCUUUUUUGAAGACUUUAUGAUCCAUUUGCCGUGGGUCCCACCAGCUAUGUUGGAAUACCCUAUCUUGUUUAUAAGAGCUUUGUUACAUGCAAAAUAUUCGAAAACAAUGUCCGAACAUAUAAUAUUUGCCCCGUAAUAUAGCAAAGAUCACGAAAAGGCCAGAAAACCUAUAUUAAGUUCAAAAUUUGGAGUAGAAAAAAACCAAUAGAAGAAUUCCAUUUUCCUUCCUCACUCAUCGGAGAGCUCUCUUUGGGGCUUUCCGAAAAGGUAUCACAUGCAAAGUUUGGCCUCACAGGCUAAAAGUUAUAGAGUCGUACAUUUUUAACAAAAAAAAAAAGAGAAAAGCCGAAAAAAAGAAGGAUGCAACACAAGGACUUUCCGGGAGGUCAGCCAUCCUAAUAUUACUCUCGCCCAAGCACGCUUAACUGUAGAGUUCUGAUGGGAUCCGGUGCAUUAGUGCUGGUAUGAUCGCAUCUGUUACUACAUGCAAUGCAAUCGUAUCUAUUCUUUUUUUAAGACUUUAUGAUCCAUUUACCGUGGGUCCCACCAGCUACGUAGGAAUAACCUAUCUUAUUUAUAAGAGCUUUGAUACAUGCAAAAUAUUCGAAAACAAUGUCCGAACAUAUAAUUUUCGUCCCGUAAUAUAGCAAAGAUCACAAAAAGGCCAGAAAGAGUACAUUAAGGUCAAAAUUUUGGAGUAGAAAAAAAAACCCUUCCUCAUUCAUUAAAGAGCUCUCUUUGGCAUUUCCGAAAAGGUGUCACAUGCCAAGUUCGGCCUCACGGUCUAAAAGUUAUAGAGUCAUACAUUGUUAACAAAAAAAAAGAGAAAAACCGAUUAAAAGAGUUAUGCAACACAAGGACUUUCCUGGAGGUCACCCGUCCUAGUACUACUCUCGCCCAAGCACGCUUAAAUGCGGAGUUCUGAUGGGAUCCGGUCCAUGAGUGGUGGUAUGAUCACAUCCGUUACUACAUGCAAUGCAAUCGUAUCUAUUAUUUUUUGAAGACUUUAUGAUCCAUUUGCCGUGGGUCCCACCAGCUAUGUAGGAAUACCCUAUCUUGUUUAUAAGAGCUUUGAUACAUCCAAAAUAUUCGAAAACAAUGUUGGAACGUAUAAGUUUCGCUCAGUAAUAUAGCAAAGAUCACGAAAAGGCCACAAAAAGUACAUUAAGGUAAAAAUUUAGAGUAGGAAAAAAAAACAAUAGGAGAAUUCCAUGUUCCUUCCUCAAUCAUCGGAGAGCUCUCUUUGGGCUUUCCAAAAAGGUAUCACAUGCCAAGUUUGGCCUCACGGUCUAAAAGUUAUAGAGUCAUACAUUUUUAACAAAAAAAAAUAGAGAAAAACCAAAAAAAAGAGGGAUGCAACACGAAGACUUUCCUGGAGGUCACCCAUCCUAGUACUACUCUCGCCCAAGCACGCUUAACUGCGGUGUUCUGAUAGGAUCAAGUGCAUUAGUGCUGGUAGGAUCGCAUUCGUUACUACAUGCAAUGCAAUUAUAUAUAUUCUUUUUUGAAGACUUUAUGAUCCAUUUGCGGUAGGUCCCACCAGCUAUGUAGGAAUACCCUAUCUUGCUUAUAAGAGUUUUGAUACAUGCAAAAAUAUUCGAAAACAAUGUCCGAACAUAUAAUUUUUGUCCCGUAAUAUAACAAAGAUCACGAAAAGGCCAAAAAUAGUACAUUUCGGUCAAAACAUGGAGCAGAAAAAAAACCCCUUCCUCAUUCAUCGGAGAGCUCUCAUUGGGCUUUCCGAAAAGAUAUCACAUGCAAAGUUUGGCCUCACGGUUUAAAAGUUAUAGAGUCAAAUAUUUUUAACAAAAAAAAGAGAGAAAAACCGAAAACAAAGAGGGAUGCAACACGAGGACUUUCCGGAAGGUCACCCAUCCUAGUACUACUCUAGCCCAAGCACGCUUAACCGCGGAGUUCUGAUAGGAUCCGGUGCAUUAGUGCUGGUAUGAUCGCAUCAGUUACUACAUGCAAUGCAAUCAUAUAUAUUUUUUUUGAAGACUUUAUGAUCCAUUUGCCGUGGGUCCCACCAGCUAUGUAGGAAUACCUAUCUUGUUUAUAAGAGCUUUGAUACAUGCAAAAUAUUUGAAAACAAUGUCCGAACGUAUAAUCUUCGUCCCGUAAUAUAGCAAAGAUCACGAAAAGGCCAGAAAAAGUACAUUAAGGUCAAAAUUUUGACUAGAAAAAAAAAACAAUAGAAAAAUUCCAUUGUCCUUCCUCAUUCAUCGGAGAGUUCUCUUUGGGCUUUCCGAAAAGGUAUCACAUGCCAAGUUUGGCCUCACGGUCUAAAACUUAUAGAAUCAUACAUUCUUAACAAAAAAAAAAAAAAAACCGAAAAAAAGAAGAAUGCAACACAAGGACUUUCCAGGAGGUCAACCAUCCUAGUAGUACUCUCGCCCAAUCACGCUUAACUGCAGAGUUCUGAUGGGAUCCGGUGCAUUAGUGCUGGUAUGAUCGCAUC